UCUUGCCUGGUUGAGAAGAGGACAACAAACAAACUGAUUAUGGGGAGAUUAUGGAAACUAAUUGAGUACACGAACAACAGAUUGCAAAUGCAACAGAACAAAGAAGAGUGGAGUCAAGUACCAAGUAUACCUUGAAAAACAUUCAGAUGCACUGGAGCCGGAGUCUCUGGCACCAUAUCAGUUUCCAUGGAAGGUGAAUUAUGGUAGUACUCUAAAUAGCCAGAUCAGAUACAAGAAGCUUUUCAUGAGAGAGGCUCGUUUUCAGAGUAAAGAACUUGUUAGAGUUGGGGAAAAGGAUAAGUACAUAAUAAAAUUACUUUAAAAUCAAUAGUACCAAAGAAAUGUCUGAAGCAGAUGCAAAAGUGUAUGUUCUACUGUCCCGUAACAUCAACUAGUUGAAAGACCACAAUAUUCUUCCUGCAGGAAGCCACAUAAUGGCAUAAAGACACAUGUGAAAAUAGAAAACGUGGUGACUAAUAAAGUGAUAAAAGAGCCGUGACAGACAUUUCAUCAGGCUGCAUUGUAUCUCGCCAUCAUUCAAACAAUCUGCUAGCCACUCAUCUGAUGACUGAUCCAACCCUCCACAAUUAAAGGCUGACCCAUCAUCUAAAAUAAAGAUGCAGCCUUAAAAUAACUGUAUAGAAAAUUGUAUCAUUUCUUCACACAACAUUAUAUUAGUACAAACCAGAGAAGCCCAAAGUACUGCACUCUAAGCUUUUUGAAACCCCGUCUUCCACCAUUGAACACUCCAUCACCUGUACCAAAAAAACAAACAAGCCAACAAAAGUAAUGAUGCAGUUUACUCAGCAGGGUGACUUCACACAAAUGGACCUUAGAUGUCAAAAAAGCAGAGUUCAUUUGCUCAUUUGCAACCUCAGUACUAUCAGAUGUGAACUGCAGUGUGCGCCUCCUUUUAAGCUGCAGGGGUUCCCUACAUUCCUCUAACCCUUUGGUGGUGGCAUCUAAAAUAAAUGUCCCCCCAGUUAUGAAAAGUUCAAAAAAUCACCAAGUGCCACAGAGAAGCGACCUACCUCUGACAUCAGUAAUUUGGUGGCCCAGAUUUGAACAUUUUUUUAUGGGAGUAUGCUCGUUCAGAUUGCAAAACAAAUGAUCCUCAUUUUGGCUUACUUCAUCCCAGAAUAAGUGAGAGAAUUCUGCGGAAUUAAGAGUCUGUAAGAAACAACUCCUUGACAGGCUCUUCGAGAAUAUAACAAUACCAGAAACAAACCAUUUUGUGAAUGUCUGGGCAGACAGUACUCGACUCCUUGCCAUUCCCAUAUUUCACUGCUACUAAGAACACGGAGAAACAAUAGCAUUACAAGUGAGAAAAAAUAGUCAAAGAAAAUAAAGUUCUUUGAACAAGGUGCAAAGGCAAAUGACAAUGCCAUGAUAUACACUAAUUCCUUUUGUCUCCCAAUAGAAACCUAAUUCCUUUGACGCCCAAGGUUAACUAUGACAGAAAAGGUAUAACACUCAAAUUAUCAUAAGAGUUAAUACAAAUGGGACGAGAUUCAUUAAAUUUGGUGACAAAUUUUAAAGAAAAUUUCCAGCACCCAAAUAUGUAGGGACUAAAUAGUUAUUCAAAACAAAUACAAGAUAUAACUUUAGGAGGAAGAAAAGCGAAUCAGAAUAAGAACAUACUAAUAAUAAGAAUGAAUCAUAAUCCAUUUGUGAACAUCCAAACUUCCCAUACUUGUGAAAAGAUCACUGCAAAAGAUUAUCCUUUUAACAGAGACAAUAUUAGAAGAAAGAACUCAAAGAUCGUCAAAAAAUAAAACAAAAAAGGAAACCCGAAACCUCAAUGAAAUCACCAACGCCCCAAAUCAGACAUCACUUCCCGACGUUCUCAGACUUGAAGUUCCAUCAAACAGUAUCACAUACAAGUUAAUAAAAAACAAAACAAAACAAAAAGGGCAGAAAACCCCACUUGUGACUCAUGCCAUUGCCAUCAUCGAAGUCGAUUAUUCUCCAAUUCCAAGCCUUCAAAAUCCAAAACCAUUCGAAUCCAACGCAGACCACAAUCUAUGCAAAGAAGGAACAAAAAAUAAUCAUCGUACAAAUUGGGCUUGAGUGGGAGUCGCGCCAUGACACUGCCACUCGUCUCCCCUCGCAUCUGUGUCUUUCUGCGACAGUGACUGUUAUUGGACAAGAGAGUAAUGUUAAAAGGGCAAAAAAGAAACACAAACCGUAAGGCUUAGAGUUAGAAUAAUUCGCAUUUAAUGCCAUUUAUUUCCUUGAAAAGCUUUUCCUGGAAGGCAAUAUCGUAAAAUCAAUCAAACGGUUGGGCUUGUAGUAGGUCUGAGUCCGGCACGACCCGGGAUUAGCGAACCGACACUGUUGACCGCCCCACCCUCCCUUGACUCGGAGCUCCUUCGGUUAACAGGUUCUCCGAUCCAAUAAUUUAGCAGCUGCAGUUGAGGUUGAUUCCCACCUAAUUUGAUUGAGCCCGACACCAGUACGAAGAAUAAUUUGAUAAAUAUUGAACAACAAGACAGGAUAGUUGGCUUGAUAUAUAAAAGAUUUUUUUACAAAAAAACUAAUUAGUGGAUGAAGACUGAUUUUUUUUUUUUUUUUAAGUCAAGCUAACUAGCAUCUUCAAAACUACUAAAUUCUUUCUUUUGAUAUGAGUAUCAAGGUACCACCAUAAUGCUGAUCAUAUAUAUAUAUAUAUAUAUAUAUAUAUAUAUAUAUAUAUAUAUAUAUAUAUAUAUAUAUAUAUAUAUAUAUNNNNNNNNNNNNNNNNNNNNNNNNNNNNNNNNNNNNNNNNNNNNNNNNNNNNNNNNNNNNNNNNNNNNNNNNNNNNNNNNNNNNNNNNNNNNNNNNNNNNNNNNNNNNNNNNNNNNNNNNNNNNNNNNNNNNNNNNNNNNNNNNNNNNNNNNNNNNNNNNNNNNNNNNNNNNNNNNNNNNNNNNNNNNNNNNNNNNNNNNNNNNNNNNNNNNNNNNNNNNNNNNNNNNNNNNNNNNNNNNNNNNNNNNNNNNNNNNNNNNNNNNNNNNNNNNNNNNNNNNNNNNNNNNNNNNNNNNNNNNNNNNNNNNNNNNNNNNNNNNNNNNNNNNNNNNNNNNNNNNNNNNNNNNNNNNNNNNNNNNNNNNNNNNNNNNNNNNNNNNNNNNNNNNNNNNNNNNNNNNNNNNNNNNNNNNNNNNNNNNNNNNNNNNNNNNNNNNNNNNNNNNNNNNNNNNNNNNNNNNNNNNNNNNNNNNNNNNNNNNNNNNNNNNNNNNNNNNNNNNNNNNNNNNNNNNNNNNNNNNNNNNNNNNNNNNNNNNNNNNNNNNNNNNNNNNNNNNNNNNNNNNNNNNNNNNNNNNNNNNNNNNNNNNNNNNNNNNNNNNNNNNNNNNNNNNNNNNNNNNNNNNNNNNNNNNNNNNNNNNNNNNNNNNNNNNNNNNNNNNNNNNNNNNNNNNNNNNNNNNNNNNNNNNNNNNNNNNNNNNNNNNNNNNNNNNNNNNNNNNNNNNNNNNNNNNNNNNNNNNNNNNNNNNNNNNNNNNNNNNNNNNNNNNNNNNNNNNNNNNNNNNNNNNNNNNNNNNNNNNNNNNNNNNNNNNNNNNNNNNNNNAUAUAUAUAUAUAUAUAUAUAUAUAUAUAUAUAUAUAUAUAUAUAUAUAUAUAUAUAUAUAUAUAUAUAUAUAUAUAUAUAUAUAUAUAUAUUACUGGAUGUGCCAGCUGCACAAGUUGGAACUUGGAAUUUUUUUUUAAAGAUGAUUAUUUUCCUCUUUGAAGUAAUGUUUACUCUUUCCUUUAUAAAAAAAAGAAAAAGAAAAAAUAAGAUUAUUUUAGCUCCAUGAUGAGAUGCAUACACAGUUGAAGGUUUCCUUUUUACUUUGAGCUCUUCUUUCGAUAUCUUGUUUGCUUUUUUAGCUUUGACCUCGAUUCCUGUUUCAUAAGAAGCUGCAGAGGAAAGAGCCAGAUCCCAUGAAUUAUGUAAUCAUCCUACUUUUUCUAUUUCACGGAUUGGCUGGAUGCAAGUAACGAAAAAAAAAGAAAAAAAAUCUGAUAUGUCCAUGAACGCUUUCCGUAGGUAGAAGUCAAAUUAAGUUUAUAGUUCCCUCUCAAAGGAAGUCAAUUUUCUAUUUGAUUCUCACGCAAACCUUACAGCGUAGCCAUGGAUGAAGUUGACAUUCCCGAGAGAAGCUUUUGGACUAGGCUUUGGUAUACCGACCAGUGUCCCUCCUCUGUUAUGUGGCUCUCUCUCUCUCACUUCUAAACCUUCAUUAUAUGUGAUUGAUUUUCUUUCUGUCAAUUAAUUGUUUCCUUCAUGCACAAGUUGGCGGGCACGGCGGGUGAUGGUGGUGGAAUCAGCUUGUAUCGUUUGCACAACCCCCCACGAUUUGCAUCCACUAGUUUACCUUUUUCGAUAAAUAAAAAAAAAAUGCUUGCACUUGUUUGUUUGUCAUAAAGUUAUAUAGCUAGAAGGAACCUUUUCUUUUUGCCGGUGGCGAUGGCGGUGGCGGCAGUGGAAUCCGAUUGGAACAAGUUGCUUAGACAUGGGUUGACGUCAACUGUUGCUCUGUCCAUAAAUUUUACUUGUUUAAUUCUCAAAGGGCUUAUUUACACUUGCAAAUCCUGUUUUGAAUUAAGAGUACUACUAAGAAAAAAAAAAAAAAGGAGAGUAUUAUUUGAGACACAUCCAAAAUAUUAAUAUUUUUUUAGAGAAAUCGUUCAAUUUAAAAUAUAUAAAAGCAUAAAAUAAAAUACAUUCAUUUCAUUUCUUUAUUUAUAGAUUUUAGGUGCUGCGUUGACGGAAACCUCGUGUUCAUCCUUGUUAAGUUGUGUAAGAAUAUACGACGAACAUAAAUUAAGAAGGGAUGACUGCCAAAAGAAACACUUGCUGGUCUGUGUGCAGCUCUGCCCAACUUGUUAGGUUGGUCAACUGCAAGAUUCAGAAUCCGAUGCAUGGGCUCACCACGUUGGUAACAACGCAACAGAGACGCAGUUCCUUUUCAACGUAUCCGAUUUAGGUCAUGGCCUCGAUCCGAUAGAAAGUCCAACGGUGGUCGGCGUCACCUACGGUGAACACGAUGCUGCCAACCGUUGUAUCUUCGCGGAAGGCCCUUCGAGCGUUUGUCAUCUCAAGCAAGGAGGUGCGCGUAUAUAUAUGUAUAUCUAUAUAUAUAUCUAUCUAUAUCUAGCUGCGGAAUGAGUCCUCAGAGCAUGCGCCAGAAUCCUCCUUCACAGCCCAAAAGCAGGUGAGAGAAGUCCUAACUCUUGUUGAUUAAGCUUGCUUGGGUGUUGAAGUUGGUUUGGAUAUGAAUCAUUCUUGAAUUUAUAUAGUGAUUUCACAUUUAUGUUGAUACCCAGCCACAGUUCCAUGACACUAAAAAGUUUUCUGGUUCAUAUACUUCAGUUUUGUUUCUUUCUUUCAAAUAUACUUCAGUUUUGUUGAAAUUCUAACAAUCCCAACUCAGUCAAACUAUUCAGAAUUAACAUUCUUGAUUGUUUGUUAGAUACAAGUAUAUUUAAUGUUUAGGUUUAUCAUUAAACUUUAAUAUGUAUUUAGGACAUAUAUAUUCCAACCUCUCUUCUCUUUCCAUGUAUUUGAUGGUCCUCCCUUUUCUCUUUUAACUCCUCUACGCAAUCCGAUCUUGGUUCCAAUUCCUCCAUCGUAUCUCCUCUUUCCCAACUCUGGUAAACAAAAUCUCUUCAAUGCCCUACAUCUUUCACUAUAAACUAUAUAUACCUUCUCUCACUCCGAAGGUAUAGGCUUGCAAACACAGAGUGAUGAGUGGAAAUUUGUUUUAACUAAAAAACAGGAGAGAGAGGGAGAGAGAGAGAGAGAGAGAGAGAGAGAGAGAGAGAGAGAUUUUACCUCGAAAGAUUGCAAGAGAGAGAUUUUUACCUCGAAAGAUUGCAUUGACCCCAGUCCCCUUCACCAUAACUCAGCGAUCGGAGAUUUUAAGGGAUAGCUGACUCUUGAUGCUAAGGGGAAGGGUUAGAGGGGCCACUACGUUUCACUCAUUCUAAAUUCAGUUGGGCAAGCAAAACAAAUCCAACUUCGAUACUUGGAAAGAUUCUCUUGCGGCCUUCGCAACAAAAUUCCACUAGUGUGCCUAAGGCUGGUGAAUGCAUCACUGCCUAAAUUCUUUUGGCACACUAUUUGGCCCGAUGACUGUGCUGCUUCAUUUCCCAAUGCAUACUUUUCCUUCGCCGAAUCCACAUAAUGAUGUGUGUUCAUGUGUGGCUUCAUAUAUAUAUAUAUAUAUAUAUAUAUAUAUAUAUAUAUAUAUAUAUAUAUAUAUAUGCUUCUGCUGCUCGCUUGGAAGUGGCAGUACCUACGAAAAGGAGCGCUUCAUCAUUUCCCCUCCCCAUCUGUUCGGCUAACUGUGUAUCUUCAUUAUCACCACGAACUUCUGAUUUCCCUUUUGUCUCAGUUUUCUACUUCAAUUAAAUUUCCUCCUCGUGACUUCGUUUGAAAUCCAUGUCUCAUUCUAAAGAUUCUCUUAUGUGGGUGCUUCUGUUCUCUUCCACAACCCCAUGAAAUUUGUGCUCUCAUGCUCGCAUGUCUUUGUUGGUGUUUUUUAUUUUCUCCUCUUAUUCUGAUCUAGUUAUGGGCUUUAACUUUCUUUUCUCUCUGUUGGCUGUUCUACACAGUUGAGUUUGCAUGUAAAGAAGAUGAAUUCAUCUGAAUCCGUAGGGAUUUCUGACCCUUCUCUAUUUUCUCAAAAUAGGUUCAUUUAUGUAUUUUUGCUAAUGUGAUUUUACUAGAUUAUUUCAUAUGUUCUUCUCUUCAUGAUAAUGAAUGGUAAAAAACCUUAAUUUAAUCCCUAUUACUCCUUGUUGACUGCUUCAAUUUCACUCUGUUAACCUGUACAAAAAAAUCUUGCUUAUAAAAUAUCAGAUUAGGAUAUUAUUUACUUUAUUAUUGGUAUUUAUAUCUCUAAUGACUAUAACUUCUAUUUUAGAGAUUAAUUUUUCAGAUUAUGACAUAAUAAACUAUCUUUGUUAUGGUGUCCAAACUGAUGGUUCUGUUUACUUUUUGGUUUCAAAUCAUGAACAUUAACAUACAUAUUAAUGACAAUGCAGAAUUCCUACAAUGUAUUGAUGCACUUUACAUUCUUUUUCUAUUUUCAAAUUCUUGUAGGUUUCUGUCGGUCUAAUGUCCAUAAAUCAGAAAGUUUGCAAUUGUAACUUCUCCGCUGCAGCUGUUUUCUUUUGUAUAGCAUUAUUUAUUGGAAGCACAUUGAUUACAGUCGAUGUGAAGGAGGUAUGUUUUGUUUUACUAAUUAGGCUGUUCUUAUUCAUCUUUUUCAGAAUAUGCUAAGAAUUGAUCAUUUGAUCGAGAGGGUUGUCAUAGAAUCAUCUCUCUACUCCAUUUCAGAAGAUUUCCUAUGUUGCAAAAAUGAUUCAGAAACACUCAUCUAAAUAUAUUAUCUAAACAUAUACAAUUCCUUUGGAAGUAAUCUUUUCUGCCUUAGUCACCGGUUAAUGGCAUUGCCAGUAGAAAUCUAUUUCCCCGCCUGAGGAUAUCUUGAUUCGUUCCUGAUUACUCCUUUUCAUCUCUAAUAAGCUGUCAAAACAAAUAUGUAAUUCUACUGCAUAGAAGAUUAGAACACUGAAGAAUCAGUAUCCUUACCGCCUGCUACACUAACAAUUUUUUGCUUCAUUUGCAGAAAAUAACGGCAUGGUUGCCAACUGAUUCAUCGCAGAAGUUUCAAUUUGAUUUGAACAAUAACACAGCAAACUCGAAGCCCAAUGAAUCUGACCCAUGCUCGGUAUUUACUUUCUGUCUUCCAUGCUUCUUUCUUGUCAUUGCAAAGCUAGUUCAAGAUCUCUGCAACAUGUUAUAUCUGAGUAAUUUGUUUUAAUCAUCUUGUGCUUUUGUAAGUAACUUUGUUUAUUAUCUUAUUAUCAUUGCCUGUAUGAGUUUAGAAUCAAUGCAGACCUUCAGGAAUUGAAGCAUUGCCUAAAGGAAUGGUUUCCCAAACAUCAGACUUGGAAAGACAGCCAUUAUGGGGUUCUAUAGAGAAAAAGGUGGUUUGAUUUUUCUCAUGAUUCAUUUACAAUUUAGACUAUUAUAAUCAUUAAGAUGUUACUCAUAGUUACCACCCGUAAGGUAAUAUAAUUUCCUGAUUGCUUGUUUAUGUGAAUGCAAUUUGUGUUAUAACCUUCCUUCUACAAACUUUAGGGGCUUAUAGCCUUUCUCUAAUCUUAGUUAAUUCCAGGGAAAUUCAAGUUCGUUCAAGAACUUAUUAGCAAUUGCAGUUGGACUAAAGCAGAAACAAGUUGUCAAUGAAAUUGUCAAGAAGGUAUAUAGAUGUGACUUACUUUAAACUGUAUUCAUUUUGAAGCAUGGUCUGAACAAAACACUUGCAGAUAGUCAAUUGUUUUCUAAUUCUUUUGUGCAUUAUAUCCAGUUCCUUUUCAGUAAUUUUACCAUAAUUCUUUUCCACUAUGAUGGGGUGGUUGAUGAAUGGAGCGACUUAGAAUGGAGUGACACUGUCUUGCAUAUCUCUGCAAUCAAUCAAACAAAAUGGUAAAUUCAGAAAAUGCACAUUCCUUGUCUCAAAGUGUAACUGGGAUUCUAUUCUUGAGAUAAAAUUAUAAGAAGUAUGUGCAUGUGUUGCAGGUGGUUUGCGAAACGUUUCUUACAUCCAGAUAUAGUCGCCUUGUACAGUUAUAUCUUUCUCUGGGACGAGGAUAUUGGAGUUGAAAAUUUUCAUCCUGGAAGGUUGUUAGUUCAUUUUUCUUUCCGUGUUAAAAUUGAAUAUGCAAGAUAUGCUUCCAGAUCUAAGCAACCAAGCUAUGAGAAUGCCUUUGUUUUUGUAUUUAUAUUUCGUUUUCCAUCCAUAAUCUGACUGUUCACCUCAUUUUAAUAUCAAAUUUAGUCUUGCCUUUGUUUAUAUAUAUAUAUAUAUAUAUAUAAAGGGAUGCUAAAAGCUAUACAUCUUCUUGCCUCUAUAAUAAUAGUAUAAAUAUUUGGGUCUAGUGUUCUUUUAAGUAACAAAUCUAAUAGUUGCAGAUACCUGGAGAUUGUUGAAAGGGAAGGAUUAGAUGUAUCACAACCUGGACUUGAUACUGAGAAGUCAAAAGUUCACUACCGAUUUACAGAACGUCAAAGAGAAGGUGAUGUACACAGGUAUUUUCUUGUCUAUUCAAUGAAAGCACUUAUUUAUGUUUCUCUUUAUUUCAUUUCAUAUAGUCUUUUUCAUGGAGGUACACUGUGUGACCAAGUCCCAAUUCUAUUGGUAUUGGUAAUCUUUUGUAUAAAAUUAAUUUGUUCUUUCAACAGAAGGAUUUAUGAUUUGGCACAAGGCUUGAGAUGUAAUGAGAACAGUACUGGUUUUCCAUGCGCUGGGUGAGUGACCCUUUCAAAACUUGCUAUCCUAUCCAUGUAUCGAUAUACUGAUCUUAAUGUAGAAAUAUUUCUCUCUUUUCUCUGAAAAUAAUUGUUUUUUAAUAAGUUAUAUGAAAAUUUACAGUCAGAUGCCACCUUUUUACCAUCUCUAAGAUUUGAUGACUCAUUUGUAUAGUUUCCACUGCCGUUUGGGUGCUUGAUCAGAUUAUAUGGAAUGUUCAUAAAUAAUGGCAACUAUCAUUCUCCAGAAACAAUGUAUAGUUAUUAGAGUAACAACCUUGAUAAUAUAGGAGUGAAUGGAUCUCUAGGGAACACUCAUCUCGAUGUGCAUUAAGUAAUCUCAAGAAAACACUCAUCGACACAGACGUUGUCAAAGAUUCCCAAAGAACCUGAUAUUUUCUUUUGGUUUACUACUUUGAAACAUUGCAUUCGUCAUUAAACUUGAAAGAAUAGGGUCUCAUCCAUGUGGAUGAAAAUGCUUGAGCCAUAUUUACUAUUGCAGGUCUUUCAAGGAAAAUAAAAUCCAACAUCAUCUUGAACUUCUGUAAAUAUACAAGCUUAAGAUGAUCUUAAGUUUUGUUUAAAUAUUUCAUCCAAGUCUUAAGCAAAUGCACUUCUGUAAUCCUAUAAAUUAGUGGAUCUGACCAUAGUUUUUGAGAUUGUUAUUGCUCAUGGUGCUGUAAUUAAGAUUGCAAAUCCUAGUUUAUGAUCCUGUUGUGUCAGAUCACAAGUGACCAAUAUUGUCAAGAUUAUUUGUGAAGCAAGAGGAAGUGAGGGAAUGGCAGACACUGAAUGGCUUCAUACAACUAAAUAAAAGAGAAGAGAAGUGAGGUUAUCAUAGAAAGUGAAACUAAAUCUUAGAUAGUAAUGGUAAAUUAAUUUUUUUAGCACUUUUUUAACCAAUUAACAACUAGUCUUUAUUCCCUCUUUAACCAUAUAUCCACUGUCACUAAAUAACAUCCCAAAGCUGCUUAGAUUGCAGGGGUUAUUCUCAAAUGGUUAAUCCAAUAGUUAGACAAACUGUAUGUACAUUUCAAGGGAUACUAUGUCCAGAAAAAUUAAUUAAAUUUAGAUACCUUUGCAGCAUAUCAAAAGAAAUGUAGCUAGGGUUCGUAUGGUUCGUUUUAUAUGGGCUUUAGGAAUUUUUUGAGCCAAACUUAAUCGAAUAAAAUCUGUUGUCAAAAAUACCAAAACGAACUAAAGCAAAUAAAAACAAAGCUUGAACUCAAAUUGGUUGGUCCGAUUUGUUUCUAAUCUUUAUCUAUAUUGUGUUACAAUUAUUUGGCCAUAAUUGUAAAGUGCAUAAAUUUUUAAAUACAUCGAGUUCAUGAGGAUAAAAAUUGUCCUAUUUGUUUGUAUAUUAAUCUGGUUGCACAACAUCAUCUACUACAGUUAUAUUGUUGUAAUAUAUGGAUUUAUGCUCUUGUAAAGAUAUGUAUUUGGUGUACCAUUUCUUUGUUUAUUUUUAUAUUUGGAUUGUUCUUUAAAUUGCAAACUGAGUGAAACUGAGACUUAUUUGAUCAUUUGUUUUUCACAGAAUUGAGCUAAUUAAUCUAAUAAAAAUCCAUAAGAUAGGACCGGAUGUCCUGGUUUGGUUCAUUUGCAUACUACCCUUAACUGUAGUAUGUCUUUACCUUCAUAAAAUGACAAAAAAUUGUAGUGCAAUUCAGGUAAGUAUAAUUGUGAGCUUGUUGCACUUAAACCUGCAUGCAUGGAAUCUUUUAUAGAGUUUUGACGUCUAAAUAGGUAUUUUAUUUUAAAAAAGAAAAAAAUAAACUAGAUUCUGAGCUUUUUUGUUUUUUUUUUGCUUUCAGUUUCCACUUUCUUUCAUAGCCCUUUAGCAACACCUGCUUAUUUAAGCAGUAUAAUUAGUAGCUUUUUCCCUGAAGAAAAUCUAAUUUCUUUUCCACAUUAAACUUGUUUACAUGUAGGUUUGUGGAAAUGAUGGCUCCUGUUUUCACAUGGUCUGCAUGGAGAUGUGCAUGGCAUAUGAUUCAAGUCUGUCAACUAUGCCUAAUUUUCACAUAUUCAUCCAAAUUAAUAAAGUUUUGAAGCAUGCAUAUCAAUGCAUUCCUAUCAUAUGAAAAUGUAGUCAUAUUUAUCUUUAUCUGCUGCACCUGUCUGCAGAACGACUUGAUUCAUGCGUGGGGUUUAGAUAUGAAACUUGGUUACUGUUCUCAGGUAGCAUUUUCAUACCAGGUAUUGCCGGUUAAUAUAUUUUGAAAAGAUGACAUCUAAUAAUAUUGUUCCUUAUUAGGGAGAUCGGACCAAAAAGGUUGGCGUGGUAGAUAGUGAAUACAUCACACAUAUGGGGAUUCCGACUCUUGGUGGAUCCAAUGUAAGAAAGGCAAGUCAGUAGAACAAAUAUACACUGUUUUUACAUUUCUGAUGCUAUCUACCUCGUUGUUUGUAUCUUUGAUCAUGGUUCAAUUCGAAUAGAAAUCAAAUCGAAUUGGAAUUACUUGACAAAAGGUUUUGUUGUUAGUCAAUAGUUUGAAAUUGCCUUAAACCUAGUAGUACAUUGAUGUGGAUCGCUUGUCUAGGUGGUCAAGCUACAGAAAGCGAUAUUUGUUCAUUUCUUGUGUAGGGCUUCUUGGUUUGUUCAUCAAUCUGACUGAUGUUGUGCACUUGCAGGACUCAAAUGGAUCAUCUACCACAAAUCUCAGAGCUGCAGUAUGUAUCAUAAUUUGCUUAUAAUUGCUUUCUGAUCUGUUGCGUUUCUUCUGCACUGGACUGAGCUGUCUUGUGCAGGUGGUAGACCGGUGCUAUGCUGAACUGGACAUGUUUAACAAGAGAUGGCAAGAUGCUGCACAAAAAGAUAAAUGCUGGACUGACCGAUACCCUGAAGCCUGAAAGACCAUGUCGCUCCACCGUCCUUUCAACUCCACCACCAUCAGAAUCCCAAGUGCAGUGGGAAGUCUUUGAAUAAGGAAGCAGAGGAUAUCACUCACCUACCAUCCACCACUAAUUGUACAUGAAGACUUGCUAGCGCUACCGAGAUCACUUUUUGAGGCUAUUUUAGGUGAGUCUCGCAUUUGUAAGUCAAGACGAUUGGCUCUUUCGCAAAGAUCAUUAUUUUAGGCAAUCCUAUUUAAUUUUGCAUGCGUGCAAUGAGUUUUUCCUCUUUUUUUUUUUUCCGGACUAUAAUUUCCCAGAAAAUUUUCUGUAGGAAUGCUCUAUGUUCCUCCAUAUGCUUUCGGCUUUGAUACCAAUGGAAGCCGUGGUUUUCAUGUGCUGAUUAAGAGACAACAGAAAGGAUCCUUAGCGAUUCGACGUUGUUUACUAGUGCUUUAGUUGGCAACGUAGGCCUCGCUUAGACAACCAAUGGGGAAGGCCAUCUUCUUCGGUCGGUGGCUUUGCCGAUAUGACUUUUAUUUUUUUUUAUUUGCGUUGAAAUACAAUAGGUUUUGUCAUGUAUGGUCGAAUAAUCCAAUGUUACACAUCUGUAUAAUCCAAUGUUACACAUCUGUGACUAGCUCUUCUAAAUGGACAUGUAUCCAGAUCUUGUUUAGAGACCGUGCAAGCCGAGGCUUUCAACUUUGCACAAGCUUCUCUACCGUAACACUGCUGGAGUCGUGUGCCAUGUAUUGACAGUGUAGGUAAAGAUUUAUAGAUUUUACUCACUGAUUUUUUUUAAAGUAAAAUUAUAUUAACUAAAAUAUAGAAAUACAAAAAGAAUUAUAUGAUCAGAGAUACAAAAAAAGGAAUCAAAAUCCUAAAAGAAAAUAUAUUAUAUAUCUUCAAUCAAGAUUCUUAUUGCCCAAGGAGUGAGAAUCAUCUUGACUCUAUAGGAUCCACACCAAUAUCUUUAACUAUGAUUCAACAUGAAUCAUCUUGACUCUAUCUUAAGCAAUAAUUCAUAAAUCAUCUUUGAUAGUAUUUGUCUCCUAAUAGAGAGAAUGCACCCUUUUCCAACACACCUAUACCCACCCAGUAAAAAGGAGUUCACGAGUAUCAUUUAUUAAUAUAAAUCCUACUCCAUAAUCUCUAUCCUUAAUAGAACUAUCAAAAUUGAGUUUUACUCAUCGAGGCCUCCUCUAAGAUACUUUUAUGCUCUUGAGUUGAUCAUGUCAUAAUAUUUGAUUAAUGUAAUAAUUUUAUAAAAAAAUAUCAUACAUAAAACUAAUCAUACACUUAAAAGAAAAACUCUCUUUUAAGUGUAUGAUUAGUUUGAUCAUUUGAAGACAUUAUAAUACAUCAUUGUAAAAGCGAGUAUUUUGAUCAUUUGAAAAAAAACAUAUAAUCUCAGUGGACAUGAUGAAAAAUGAAUGGCUUCCUUCAUCUUGGGAGACUCCCGAGAUAUGUGAGACUUUCUGGAGAUGCCAGCCUUUAUUUUUUUAAUAUUAUUUUAUUUAGUAAUGUCGAACGAUACAGACGAGUGGACCAACAUGUUGGCUGCUCGUGAAUCACGUCGCCACCGUCCCAUCCCAAGGAGAGGAGCUUCACAAUCCCUGGACGCCCGGGUUCCACGGGCGAACCCGCCGCGAGGCCGCUGUGGCUCCCGCUCGGACCCCUGCCGCAGCUGCUAUGGUCUCCUUUGCAAAUCUCAUCCUCCGCAACUCCUCGCCGCAAGCCAGCUAUCAGAUCCAACGGCAGCAGAUCAGUUUCGAGUACUUGAACCCACUCGCUCGACAUCUGACUUCCCUUGCAAGAUGGUUCUUUCGAGGCUCCCCUUUUAGCCAAUCCCCAUGAAGCGUAGCACCUCUGUUCCAUCAUUUCCUUCUCUCUCCCAUUGUGGUUCCCAUUGACCCUCUCCCUCUUCCCUCUUCCCUCUUCCCUCUUCUCUCUCUCAAACGCAUCGAAGAAGUAAAACCAAAUCGAAUAAGGAGUAGUAUUUGUGAGGAAAUAUUGGGCUUCUCCUUCUUGCAUCCACGAGGUACGAGAAUACCAUUUGUAAUGUUUACUUGCCAACUCCUGUUUCUGAUACGUAAAUUUGCAGGUAGAUUAGCCGGUUUAUGAGACCAAGAAAGACCUCUGUUCGAGUAACCAUAGAAUUUCUAUUCAGAGAAUCAUAUAGUUGUCGAUCGUAUUUAACUAUCGUUGGAUUUUUCAGAUCCCUGAUCUCAUAGAGUUUUUUUCUGACACCAAUGCGAGGCAUCAACUUCUUUAAAUAAUCAUGGUGAGCAUAUCAGUGGAUUUUCGUACCACUCAUUGCAUCGUUUCGUCGUAUAUUUGUGUUCGAAUUUUUCGGUCUUUUAAAAAUACAAUUGAUUCUUGUUGUCACGUUUACAUUGGAACUCCUUGAUGAAUAAGGAAAAAGAUUGAGUCGUAUACCACCAUUGAAAUAUUCCUACUGAUACAUUCUUUUUAGGAGCUAAUUUGAUUCAGGUUCAGUUUGACUAAAAUUUUCUUCUUUAAUUUUACAUAUCAGGCUUGCUAUCUCAAUUAUUAUUAUUAUUAUUGUUAUUAUUAUUAUUAUUAUAUAUAUAUAUAUAUAUAUAUAACCAGAUGAGUACAGACAAUAUAUAUACAUAUAUUCCUGAGAGUGUGCAUUCUGUCGCUUCAUUUGCCACUUUUGCAGCUUUGAACUCAAGUAUGCAUUAAUUUGAGAUAUGUAUUAUAACUUACGCUUUCAAGUAGAGAGAAUUGGAGUACAGUGCAACAAGAGGUCAGAGAGCUAAGCAAGACAUUUGAUGGACUGUGUGCAUGGGGAUGCAGAGAGUAAGCAUGAGCAUCUGAAAACACAUCCCGCGAAAGCUGUCGCUGAAGAUGGUGAUCCCCCUCCAGGAAACGAAAAUGAAGUUGAGAAGGAAACAACUUGCUCUUCCUCUGCUACUUCCGAUGACUCGUCCGAGGAUUUCUUCCAGUUUGAUCCAGCUGAACUCAGCAAGUCAGUCGUGGCGAACGAUCAAGAGAUGAGAAGCCACUGUGGUGCAGCUACAUCAAGCACGAACGGGUUCCUAAUCCUCAUCGAUGAUGACGAUGAGGAUAGCAUCCUUGCAGAGGCCCAGCCGGUGGGUAUAGCUGACACCGGUACCUCCUGCAUGGUGGCUUCGAGACAGUCACCUCCAGUUCAGGUGAUGGAGAGAUUGGACGUCCCCGACACGGGUCGGAUUCCCUCCCCCAUCUUCACAAGGGACAGGUCCACGAUGACGCCGAUGGAGUGGAGCGUGGCCUCCAACGAGUCUUUGUUCAGCAUCCAUGUAGGGACUUGCAGCUUUUCCAGGGACCAUCUCAUUCUGAUGGGCAGGUCAGGGGAGUUCACCCCCAUCGACUCCGGUAGCCCUGUGGAAUCCUGCCGACUGACGUCUGCCGUUCCAGGCUCAGAUCCUGUAGGAAACGAGGGCGCCGGCGCCAUGAAGGGUGCGGAUCAGGAAGAGCAGCUUUAUUCGACGAGUGAGGGUGCAAAACUGUCCACCAGACUAUCUCACCGAUCAGAUAUUGGCAGCGCAUCCAGGUUUCAGUCGUUUGCGUUUCCAGUGUACGCUCUCCAUGUCCAUUACUCUCAUUAGGGCAAAUGUUUUAGAUUAUGAGAAUUAGGAUAAGGCUUUCAUGUUGAUAAGUCUCCAUGCAUAUCGAGCGACUUCUAAUCCUGCUGCUUAUGUAGAUACGUGCAAGUUUAUGUGACAUAAGAGAUUUAGUUUGCUCCGGGUGCUUUGUCAAUGAAAAUGCUGAAUAUAAAUGUGAAACAAAAAAUGAUGAUACAGAUUGACAGGUAAAGGAAGUAGUAGCUCAAUGAAGAUGGAACAUGGGCAUCCACUUCAGACUGAUACACCAAAGGAGGAAGAAGCUGCUGCUGCAGGAGAGAAUAAAUGGUGUCCAUGCUUUUCUUGUUGCUCAUCCUGCUGCUGAGAGGGUAACAAAUAUAGCAAAUCUCCAUAUUUGCAGUUUUUCCGGUGAUGCAGCCUUCCAUGUUGAAUUGCGUUUUGUUUCAAUCGUCCUGCAGCUUUCGCAAAUGAAAUUUUGUUCAGACAGAGAGAAGCGCAUAUGUUCAUGGUCAUCAGUUCCUCCACGUCUGUGCCUCGGAAGGCUCGGCAUGAUGAAGGAGGCCGUCUUUUGCUCGCCUGAUGAUAACGUAUUAUGCCUUUUUUUUUCUUUUUCUUUCUCUAUCAUAAUGCAGAUAUGCACUAAUUCUUUCAAAAUUUAGUUAUCUUCGAAUGCUAAUGCUGGAUUUAGAGAAAUCAUUACUCAAAAAACUGGGUUUAAAGUUUGCUAAAGUCUGACGUGCAUCCUUCCUGACAUCGGUUCUGGCAUCAUGGUGCGCUAUUCAUCGCUCAUCGAGGGUGCAUCCUCCUCCUUAGGAGUAAAGCAUACGGGUGAGUGAAUUAUCGACAAGAGGAACGAACAUUUCUUUUCCCCGAUCAAUGUGCAGCAAUUGCCUUUUUUCCUUCAGCAUUUAUGCGCACAUUUCCAACACGGCGUCAUUUGCCAGAGCAACCAACCCCACAGCGGAAUGCAGGACUUGCAACUGAAGUCGGUCGGUCUUUUACCUACAGCACAUACGAGGAGGCUCUCACAAUCUGGCUAGAAGCAACGGGAUUUGUGUUAACUUUGUAGCGAGCGCUGGCUUAUUAAGUAACUUAAGCUCAUAAUGUGACAGGAUUAAUUUUUUUCAUAUUCCCGAGAGUUUGCGGCCUGGUUUUUGUCCAGUCGAAAUCGAAGCUUUUAGCAUUGCUUGAUGUUUGGCGCACUUUUACAAGCAGCAAAACAAAACAGAAUUUUAAAUAGAAAAAAACAAAAUGUAAAAAGACUUUAAUAAUAAUUAAAGAAAAAUACUUUUCAUUCUAACCCAAUUAGGUUGUAUCAAAUCUUCAACUGAACAUGAUCGGCUGUUGCUCUUUUUCAUUAUCAUUCUUCAACAAUAACUGAUCACAAAUAUUAUAAAGUCUUUCAAUGUCGGAAAUCUAAAUUUAAGAUUAAAUAAGAAAAAAAAUAAAUAUUUUUUUUUAUUUUAAAAUAUGCUAAAACCUUUAUAAUUUUUAUUCAAAAUCACUCAAAUUAUUUUACACUUUAUUUUAUAAGACUUGAAAACAUAUAAUAAACUAAUGUAAUUGAUAAUUAUAUUAUUUUUAGUAUAGUGGUCAAAACAUUGUAACAAGUCAAUUUUUAAUGUCGAAUCGAGUGAUGUUGUUCUUAAACUAUUAUAAAUAUCUAUUUGAGUUAUAAUAUAUCAAAUGGUUUCUAGUGUGUUUUGAUUUUAUUAACUUAUUUAUAGUGUUUUCAAGUAAGUUUUGUAGUGUUCUUGUUGUUGUGGUGAUCAAAAUGCUAUAAUAGGCCAAAAUACUGUAACAGACGAAAAUUUUUUUAAACGUAGUUUGGGUAUUUUUUUUUAAUUAGGAGUUUUAUUCGAAUAAAAAAUAAAAUGGGACACCAAUCGGGAAAUACUCAAAAUAUAAAUAUUUUUAAGAAAAAAUCAUCCUAGAAACAUGUUUGUAUCAUUGAAAUGAGAAUAUAAAUUGAGGAUAAAUAAUCCAAUAUGACAUGGAUGUUUUCUAAGUUUACUUGCAAAUGUUGUGGUUAACAACUUAGGACAAUUAGUAUUAGUGCAUGAGAGACAUAAGAAGACUAAAGAAAAUUAUAUAAAAAUAAUAAUAAAUAUAUAUAUAUAUAUAUAUCCUCUUGACUUAUUAAUUUUUACGAGUCUCAAUAAAAAAACGUGUAGUCGAUAUCAAGUUGUUGGAAUAUUAGGGCUUGUGAUGACCGGCAACGUCGUCUUUCUUUCCUCAAAGAUCUUUCGAGGAAUAAGAUGUUAUUUAGAACCGUCAUUUCACGGAUCAUGCAUAACAAGUAAAUAAUUUCCCAAUUCCGUCGAGUCUAUUAUCACUACGAGCAGUAGAUCGACAUGUGCAGAUCACAUUAAUACCUCUAUUUUUUAUUCCGCUCGGAGCAAUCCUCAUGUUCUCAUUUCCACUUCACCUUUUGCACCAAGCAUUUUGGUCUGUGGCACUCCAAGUAUCCACUCAGCCUUUCCUUUCAUUUCUAGCUUUAUUUCUUUUCUGAUCGCUUAUAUCCCAUCAAAAACAAACCAAGAAGAUGCACCGCAUCACAUGAAGACGACACCUGACUUUGUUAAUGUGCUAUAGUAUAAAAAAGUUGCAAGGUGAGUUGUCAUCGUGCGUGCUUAAAACAAAGUUUACCAUCACAUCAACUGGAGAGUGUUUAAAGGCCACAAUAUUCCAUCUCGCAAGCAACAGACUUUUUAACUCAAUUAUUUGCCUCUCAUAGGACGGCUCAUGUAUUUUGAGGCCAAAUCAUUUGGAUGGUUCUCUCAAAGGAUUACAAGGAUAAUUCUUCUUUUCACUGCAAACCACAUCUUUCCAACGACCGAGGAGAUGUCUGAUAUAUCAGCUAGCUCUGUGCAUAAUUAUUCAACCCAUACAUGUAACAUUUUCUUCUUUUUUUUUGUUUAAAUAUACCAAUUUUACAAUGAAUCUCAACUUUGGCUGCGCUGAGCAUGUGCAAACACAGGCAUAUCACAAGCAAUAAAGUGGGUAUUGUCAUUCGAGUCUCAUCAAUGAUGGAGUAAUUGGCAUUUCUUGAAGCAAACUAGUGCAUGACAUUCUUCACAAGCAAAUCAGCUGAUUCCAGAGACUCGAGUAAAUGGAGCUGAUCCACUUCUGUGCCAACCCAUAUGUUCCCUUGGAAAAGAAGACAAACAUUUGUAAAGCUUUACCAACACAUUAACCUUCAGAUUGAAGCUUCCAGUAACACGAUCUACAAAAGGUGCGAAGCGCUUAUCACAUGAAUGAGAAAACUCAGCUUUAUGAUAGAGAAGAAAGAAAGAGGAGAAACUUACGUGUCAACAAUUGAAAGCAGUGAGGAAGAUUGGCCCUUCAAAAACAAGGGAACCAGCGAGCUUGUGCACUUGUAUUUGAUAUAUAUAUAUAUAUAUAUUUUAAUAUUUUUCUUUGAAGCUCAUCAAAGGAACCAUCACUGUUGUGCUGCGUGUCUUCAAAGCAAAACCAACUUGGAAGGCCACUUUCACCAUCCAUCACAGCUUUGCCACCUUUCUCCUCCUUUUAUACCACACCUCUAAUUUCUUCCUUGAAUAAUGCUUGAUCAGGGGAAUCUGCUCUGUUUUACAACCACUUGAAGAACUUACAUUGACAAAACUGUUCCCUGAGACUGUUCCAGAAUUUAUGAGAUGGGAUCCUUCGGAAUGUUUCCCGGUUUCCCAAGUUCAGCAAUCCCUGAAUCAUCCUGCGGCUAUCUACUGCAAGAGCUAAAGGUUUGGGUUGGGGUUUUUCCAUAUCAGUGGUUCUUGAAAUUGAUACUAGCUGAACUUUCUUUGAACAUUUUAUCAACUGCUAACAGCUGAUUUGGGAUGAAGUGGGGCAAGAUCAGCUUGAAAGAGAGAGGAUUCUGCUUGAACUGGAACAGGAAUGUAUCGACAUGUAUAGAAGAAAAGUUGAUAGUGCAAAUAUCUUGAGAGUUCGUCUGCAUCAAGCACUGGCUGAUUCAGAAGCUGAGUUCACUAACCUUCUCCUGUCCCUCGGGGAACGAUCAUUCUCAGGCCGGGUGAGAUAUAGAUGACUUCUUUUGAUAGUAUAUUUAAUAAGAAAAGAAUAGCACCAAAUGUGCAGCCAGCUUAAAUUCUCUUGGAGCAGCCUGAAAAAUUGACAGGUACACUGAAGCAGCAGCUUGAUGCAAUCACUCCUGCACUUCAUGAAAUGCAGCUAAGGAAAGAAGAGCGGAUGAACCAGUUCCGGGAGGUUCAGACACAAAUCCAAAGAAUUGCUUCUGAAGUAGCAGGUCAUCAACCGGAUUGCAAUGUUCUGGUAAACGAAGGAGAUCUCUCACUUAAAAAGCUUGAUGAGCACCAAAAUGAACUCCAAAGACUUCAUAAAGAGAAGGUAGCUUUAACCUUGGUAGCGUCGGUUUUCUUCUAUAUAUCAUCCAAUUAAUUUUCACCCAUUCUUCACUCUGAAAGAAUGAUAGACUCCGGAAAGUAGAAGAUUACAUAAAGGUGGUGCAAAACCUUGCUGAAACAAUGGGAAUGGAUGCUUCCAUGAUCAUCAGUGACAUUCACCCAAGCUUACUAGGUGGUUCAACCGCACAGCAAUCCAGGAACAUAAGUGACACCAUCUUAGAGAGAUUAAACAGCAAAGUGGAACAACUGAAAGAUGAGAAGCGUAAGCGAACAGAAAAGGUAUGAGUUUAUUUUCCAACAUAGGUCCAUUGCUACAACUAAAUCUCAGAACCAGGAAUAACAAAAAAUGAAUGUGUACAGAAUUGCUGUUUCUAAAUGCAUCACAAAGCACCCUACAUUACCAAGUUAUGCACUUCAUAAAGCAUGUCUCACCAAAGAAAAGAAUUUGAAUAAAUAUAAUUACUCAUAUCGUAGAAAGAUUCAUAGGUUGGCCAUAUACAUCAAACCUAUUCAAGAAAUACAAAACAGGAUACCAUAAAGCUGAUCAUAGAUCAUAGAAUCAUGCUAGAAAGUAAACACAAGGGGGUUCCAGGGUCAUAGCAUCAUGCUUGAGAGACAUCCCCUUGAGCCAUCCACCAGUAUGCCAUCUCUUAGUUUAACAAAAAUUAACACCUAGCUUAUUCACCAUAAGUGACCAGAUGGGCUUACCAAACUAGUGAUAAUGUAAACCAGAUUAUCACUUUCAAGCUCACAAAGAUACACCUCGUGCUCCAUAAACUUACACAAGCAAGAUAUUCAGAGGCAGGUAAACAGCAAUUCAAGAGAUCUUGAUUGUACAAGUUGGAUGAAUGCUAUGCACCAAUGUAAUAUUAGUAGAAUUAUAAGCAUAAUAAUAGGAAGAUUUAGACAAAUAUUUUCCAUAUCUGACACUAGCAUCCUUUGCAACAAAAGAAAAGUACACUAACAUCCACAAAUUUUGAACUUCCAAAUAUAAUAAGUUUGCAGUUUUUAUUUAUUUUGUGUGAGAAAAAUUGAAUUUUUAUUAGGAUAUUAGGAGUUAACCCAUGGUUGAACCUUAGUUGGACAUUGAUCACCCAUGAAAAUAGAGCCAUUUUCUGGAUUGAGUUUAACUGCCACAAAUUUUGAAAUGAGCCUCUCUCACAUAUAAUUUAGUAAAUUAAUCCCCAGACAGUUAUACCAGACAUUAAAAGCAAAAUGAUUCGUAUUAUACAUGUUUAACAAAUGUAAUUAGGCUACAGAACUGCUGCAAUAGAGUCAAUGAUGUUUCAAGAUUAAGAAUUGGUGAUUUUAUGACAAUGCUCACAACAUUAGGAAAGAUGAUUAUUGAAUUAGAAAAGACAGCACAAUAUUGGAAAAACAAGAGAUGCAACAGGAAAAUAUAAAACGAGCCUCUAAGUGCUCUUUAAUUAGUUUCAAACAAAUACUACCUUAUGAACUAAACAGAGGAUGCAGAUAUCUUUUAUGCAUCAGCAUUAUUGUUGCACCUUUUGUACACUUUGCAUCAACUCCACUAAAACUACAGAUACAAUGAUUUUGCAGCUUUACAAGCUUGGGAAAGCAUUGACAAACUUGUGGAAUCUCAUGGAUACAUCGAUUGAGGACCGGCAGAAGUUCUAUUACAUGAAUAUAUAUACGUCAUCAGCUCCAACAGAUCACAUAUUAAGACCAGGAAGCCUUUCCAUUGAUAUAAUCCAUCAGGUAAAGAAAGAAUUAAGCUAAGAAAUCAAACUUCAGAUAAAGCAUUUCCUUUUCUGUAUUAAAAAGACAAAUUAGGUAGUCUAUAAUGGUUCCUUAACUGACACUGCUGCUACAGAUAAAGCAUUUCCUUUUCUGUUUUAAAAAGACAAAUUAGUAGUCUAUAAUGGUUCCUUAACUGACACUGCUGCUCUGACUACAAUCCAGGUUGAGUCCGAAGUGGAGAGACUGGAUCAGCUAAAAGCAAGCAAAAUGAAAGAGCUUUUUCUCAAAAAGCUCAGUGAGCUUCGAGAAAUAUGCAAGAAAUCUCAUUUGGAAGUACCUUCAGGAUCAGAGAUGGACAAAAUCAUGAACCUCAUCAUGUCAGGUGUGCCUCUUGCUUCAGUUAGAUGCAUCAUUAAAUGAUUCUUAAUGGUAGCUGAACUUAUUGACACUCAACAAAACCUUGAACCAAAGGUGAGAUGGACCAUGCUGACCUCCUAGUGAUUAUGGAAGAGCAUAUAUCCCAGGCAAAAGAAGAAGCACGCAGCCGGAAGGACAUUAUGGAGAAGGUCGAAAAAUGGAUGGCUUCAUGUGAAGAAGAACAGUGGUUGGAAGAAUACAGCAAGGUCAUCUCCAAAUUCAUCAACUCAUAUGUCAAAGCUUACAAUUCUAUUAAAUAUUGCUGAUGAGGAAUCCUAAUUUUGACAUAUGGAUGUUUGCAGGAUGAAAACCGUUACUCAGUGAGCAGAGGGGCUCACAAGAACUUGAAACGUGCAGAACGUGCUAGAAUUAUUGUGAACAAGAUUCCAGGUAAGAAUUGACUAUAGCUAAAUAAGAAAUAUGAUGUAUGAUAGACUAAAACGAGAAAAUGCAGAUUUGGUUGAAUUGUUGAUGGCAAAGACAGAGAUAUGGGAAGAGGAAAGGAUGAAAAAUUUCUUGUACGAUAAGGUUAGGCAAGAACCUAUUGCUUUAAUACAUUUAUGAAUUUAUCCAAAUAUUAUCUUUUUCAUCAUUGUUCUACCGGAAUAAGUACCAUAUUUAAGUUCACAUUUUACUUCAAAAUAUUCUGCUAGAAGGAUGCAAAAUGAUGCUCAAGAAGACUUGUUCUGGGAAAAAAAAUACCAAAGACAAACUUAAAUGCAAUUAAUUAGUUUUUGUUUCCUUUCUCAUGAUAGCAUAGCCACCACUUUUACUGAUGAGCAUGCAAAUUUAAGCAAUUAAAUGACUUUAAUAACUUGCAAAGGACAUUUUAUAGAUCAAGUUUUGCAACUUGCAGAAUCAUGCAUGCAAGGAUCAAGUAUCAUAAAACCUAUUAUCUUCUUGUUGCAAAGCCUAUAAGCAUCUAAGACAGCAAAAUAAAUUAACCACUAAAGUUCAAACAUGAAAGCUAAGCUAGCUACCCUUGAAGUAGAUGCAUAAUUUUGUAAUAUGAUCAAACAUAUAUUCAAUUAUGAUUUCAAGUAUUGGUCGUUACUGUGCUUGAUUUCAAGUAUGGUCUGUAUGCACCAGACCAACCAGUAUUUAUUGGUAUGAUCAAGGACCGGUGUCAGACCAUAUAUCUCAAUAAUGUUCAGGUUUUUUUUUGGGUGAUACCAGGCUGUAUGGGUGGCAUUUCACCUAGUACAUACUGGUACUGUACCAUUCUAGUAACUGAGAUUUAAACCCUUGUAUCCAAAUAAUUAAAUUUUCUGUUUUUUUAACCAAAAUGGACUAAGAACUUUACAUGAAAUAUACCUGACAUCUACAUAAAUGGGUUGCAUGAAAUAAAUCCCAGCUUGGUAGCAUAACCUCGCUGAUAUGGAUUUACCACAACAUGCUCCACACCUGCCGCAAAUUUCUUUUUUCUUUUUCCUUCCUUUCUAUGUGCAAGACAAGCUAACAAAACCAUGUCGAUCUGAUUCUCUCACUUAAUUUCUGCAAAAGCAAAGCAAAUCAAAUCAAGAUAUUCUCUUUUAUAAACGUCUUGCUUUUUUCUUUCUCCUAAAUUAGUUGCUGCUAGCACAGCAUAUGUUUCCAGCCUACAUGAGCAUGCAAGACCAAGAUAUUGCUCACCUAAGGAAAAAGAAGAGAUGAAAUUAUCCCAUGUUCAGAUAUCGGAUUGUACGGAGAUAUCAUUUCCAGUUGGAAAUGCAACAUUCUUUCGUAGGACCCUUUUAAGGAAAAAAGUUUAAUUUAGCAGUUAAUAGAGACAGUUGCUGCCUUGAUGCUGCAGUUGCAUAAAUUCACCUCAGAGAUUUUACAACAACAAAAUUACCAGGAAAACAUUGUUGUCAUUGAGGUAUUAUGGAAAACUGUAGACUUAUAGAACAAGCGAUGAAAUUUAAGUUCCUGAACUGAACUAGGAAAAGAGGAUUUGUCAACAUAUAGGAUAACUUCCAUAUACAAGACCAAAAUGCUUAUACAAAAUUAAAGCCCAAUCAUCACAUUUGUCAUUAACACCAUGAUUGCAUUACCUACCAUUUGACAGAGUGGAAGGGAUAUAUGGAGAAAAAAAAGAGAAGAAUAAAGAAUAAUCUUAGAUAUCUUGUAAUAAGAUUCAGAACUAAUCCAACAGUUUUCUCUUGAUUUGUUAUGAUAUAUUUUGGAUCUUUUAUAUGAUUUAUAUAAUUGUUAUUUAUUAUAAGAGUCUUGUACAAUAUGAUUGACAUUUAUUUUCUAAAAAUAUAUACAAUUGUUAUUUCUAAUGAAUUAUUCUCUAGCAUUUUCAUUAUUAUUUUUUCAACAACUUCUUAUAUUUUAUAUAAUAGUUUCAUAUGUUUUUUGGGAAAGACAGACACGUUAUGAAUUAUGAUGUUAAAGAGGUUUCUUAACAAAAAAUAUAUUUAUUUUCUCAUAAUUUAUUUUGUGUUUUGUGGUGCCCUACCAUUUAUAUUAUAUAUAAUUCUUAUAAUUUUAUGAUUACUAAAUUAUUUUUUCAUCCGAGUUCAUUCCCAUCAUUCUAAUUCGAUCGAUCCCAAGGCCUGAUCAUAUCAUCCCAGCCAAUUCAAAUCUGCUUUCAAUCUUACAACUUAUGUGCAAGAGCACAUGUAGUGGUACCCAAUAGCCUACGAGUCUCAUGCAGUGUCAACGCAAGUUGAAUCAAAGGCUAAUCCUGAAUACAAACCAUAAAAUAGUCCUCUCCAAGAAUUUAAAUACCGAACAACUUACCCUUGAAUAACCAUUCCCGUUGUUGACAUGCACCAUAUAGAUGUCAAGGCAAGUUGUUAACAUAGACAGUUUCUGGUAAUCAUUAGGUGAAAGAGAAAGAAAAAAGACCGAUAUGGAGAGGCAAAAUGUGAAAGCAUAGUUGGGCCCUGGUGCUGCUGCUAACAUAGAUAGUUGCUGGGACUUAUUCGGUGAAAGAGAAAGAAAAAAAGACUGAUAUAGAAAGGAAAAAUGUGAGCACAGUUGGAUCAAUAACUCUGAUAGUUGACAGAGAAUCUUUGAAGUAGUGAAGUUCAAGAAGAAGGCUGACAUGAAUAAAUACUCAUGUUAGCUUUCCUGCUUAGUUGUUAUCUUGCUCGAGUUUGAUGGGCUUUACAAUGUGAAUGGCACUGAGAGAAAACCUAGGAACAAGAUCUUGGUUUGGAUUUUGUCAAAUGACUCCAUCCAGUGUGAUGUUGAAGAGGUUUCACACAGUUAAAUAUGUGUUGCACCUCAGUGAUGCACGUCAGUUUGGUUCUCAUUUUUCACAUGAAUAAUAUAUCAGUCCUAGCAAUCCUUGGCACCUCUUUCACAAAAAUCCAUGCUUUCCUCCACAUAGAGAAAUACACUAAUCUUUACAUAACAUAUCAUAAAUUUAACGUUCACUUUGCUCUACAGAGACAUUUGAAACAUACUUUAAGCUUGUAAGCAGGACAUAAAGUAUGCUUUUUAUCAGUCAAUUGAAUAAUCAAUUCAGAAACUAUACUUUGAUUUCUUUUAUGUAUCAUGCACAGUCAAUUUCUGUAACAAAUUCAUUUUUUCUUUCUAUAAACUUCCAUAAACCAAUCAAAAUUGUGGUAAUUUCAGGCACCAAACCAACAAACUACACACUAUGAUAUCAUAUGUAUCUUUUAUUAAUACCUAAGACUUCUAUUAUCUCAUACUACAACUAAAAGAAAUGCAACUGAAAUUUUUCAUCCCAUAUAUAAUCAAUCUUUAUAAAAUUACAGGUACCUCUAAUGGCAAUGCUUAAAGAGUACACUCUGUUAAAGCAAGAAAAAGAGGAGGAGAAACAAAGGCAAAGAGUAAGUUCUAGUGCAAUUCGAUGAAGGAUACAAGAAUAUCUAAAGAAGUUCUGCAAAGGAUUGUUCUGAAGAGCAAACAAUUUUUAACCCCUUGUUUAGAUGAUUUGUUCCGGAUUGUCAAUAACAUCUUUUCUCUCUGCAGGAAAGAAAAAAAGUGCAAACUCAGAUUACAGCAGAACAUGAGAAUUCAUUUGGCUCAAGGCCAAACACAAGCACUACUCGUCCUUCCAACAAGAUUCUAAAUAGCAGUUUCGUCAGUGGUCCUUCGAGCAGGAGACUGUCCAUCAUCAGCCAACACCAAAGGUCAAAGAACAAUUAUGCAAAUAAAGGAGCAAACUUAAACAAAGGGAGUAUAAAGUUGCAAACGCGGAAGAUAUUAAGCAAUUAUAGCCAUGCCCCUAAUUCUAAAGAAGAUGCAGCAUCAGAGAUCUCUAUAACAUUUUCAGGCUGAAAUCAUGACUCUUCAUUCGAUAUUAAACAAUGUAAAGAAUCAUAAGAUCAGGCAAUCAAUGUGUGAAUGGAAUGGUACAGUUUUUGGAUAAAACACAAGCAUGACAUUGUAUAACCACUAUUAUGAUAUAUUUGAUCUUACAUCCUGCUAAAAGAACCAUACUUCACCGAGUUCUUCGAGAAAGCAGUAAUUGCGGAAGAGCUGGACUGCGGACUGUAAUUCAAGGUUUAAAAUUUUGUUAUCUGGUGUCAAUACCGAUAAGCGGCCAAACUAGUACGCUUUCGAUACAGAUCAAUAUCCUGACACUCGGUAUGGACCGAUGCUUUCCAGACCAAGAAAGGGGGGAAAAGGAGCGAGGAGGACUUGCAUAGGGGCAGGAAUAUGUGGAGCGGAGAAGGAAGAUGAGACGGGGUAGGAGGAAGAGAUAAAGAAAGGCAGAGAAGAAGGAAGAGGAAUAUGAGGUGUAGGUGGAGGUGGAGGCGGAGGCAUAUCGGAGGUGAAAGAGGAAGCAGCGACCAGACGAUUCACUGGGGGCGGUGAACGAGGCGUUGACAAGAAGCAAACGAGUCUGGGUAAGAGACAGAAGAGAGAAUAUAUAUAUAUAUAUCUUCUUAAAAUUUCUUUUUAUCCAAGUUCAAAAAAAAUUUCAAUCAUUUAUAGUAUUUUAAAAAUAUUAUCUAGAGUUUUAAAAAUAUUAUAUAGCAUUUUUUUAAAACACUAUAUGGUGUUUUUUUUAAACACUUUACAAUGUUUUUAAAACACUAUACAAUGUUUUAUGGAUAAAAAAAUAACCCACAAAAUAUUAUAAAUAAGGGCGAUGGUUUAAAACUUUUGAAAAGGGAAUACUCUGAAAAAAAAAACUCAAAAAAAGAAAUUUUUCUCAUACAAUCACCCAUAUAUAUAUAAUAUGUAUAUGUACGGGUUUGUUGGGCUAACUGGCCUAUCUAAACCACUGACCAAAAUGCUUAAGUCGAAGUUGAUAAUAGUAUACUCAUCAGACCCUUAUAAGUCAAUCUUAGUCUUGCCUACUUUCGAUGUGGGACUAAUCAGGGAUGUUAUAAUUUAUAUAUGUAUAUAUAUGUAUAUGUAUAUGUAUAUAUAUAUAUGUAUUGUAUAUGUAUGUAUAUGUAUAUAUUAGUUUUUAUCUCUAUUUUAAUUUUUUUCAGCAAAGUAGUUCUGUUUUAAGCCAACACUAGAUAAGUUUAAAAUAAAUAAAAAAGAUAAUUACGUAAUAUCAAUAUAUAUUAAUAAAAAUAAUUUUUUUUAUAUAAAGUAUUAAUACAUAAAAUUUAAAAUAAUAAUCAUGAAGAAAAUUAAAAAUAAAAUAAAAAUCAUAUAAUUAUUGUAGAAAUAUAAUAUAAUAUUAUUUAAAAUUUCUUUAAAAUAAUUUUUGAAUGAACUAAUGAAUAUUAAAUAUUAGUUAUAUAUAGUUUGAUAACUAAAACUAGAAAAUGGACUUGAUUCGAUAGAAAUAUCGAAUAGUUAAAGAUAUAAUUGACAACUAAUCAUGAUCGUAAGAGAUGUAAUAAUUUUUUAGAAAAUAUAAUAAAAAGUUAUAUAGCUAUGUGAAAGUACUAUGAUUCAUCUUGGGUUUGACUUUCUACAAAUCUGAUUUAUCUCAGAUUUGGACGUGACAAUAUCUACCUUAUUUUCUCUUGAUUCAGAUCCACUCCUCCUCUCGAUCGUCUCCUCUCCAUAUCUACGCCUCUUAGUGAUCAAUAGUGUUUGAAGGUGAAUUUCCAAACACUAUUGAGUUCGAGCUAGGAGACACCAUCUCAGCAGAAGGAGUUAAGAUAGGGUUCGAGAUCUUGCUAUCAGAAUUUAGGUCAGGAUUCACUGCACCAACCUUACGGGACGAGCCCGAGUUAGAGGGGUUGAGAGUUGGUCUUAGUUACCUAGCUUGACGAGGGGCCUAACCCAUUAAGUGACUCUUAUGUCCCUUGGCUUUUGUUCGAUCCGAACCUUAGGUUCGAAGGUUGAUUUUAUAACUGUUCUCUUAAGCUAUUUGUAGGUUCCCCUUGUGCAUCGAUCAUCUCAUAAGUGCCAGAGCUUGAGGUGAUCGAGGGACAAAAAUCUGACGAGUGCUCCCCCACUCCACAACGAUAGUAUAUAUUCAAAAUAUUUUUAUACGUUAUGGUUUGGAAGAAUAUGGAGGUCCCCUGUUUGAUCCAGUAGUCAUGCAACAAAAGUUUACUAAAGUCAAUUAGAACACAGAUUUCGGCAAAAUUUAUCUCGGCGAGAGUAAUCUCGUCUAUUUUGAUGACUCUUCCGCUCCUAGGAUCAAUUUUGUUGAGAAUUUUGGAGUUAAAGGAGUUCAAGUGGAAGGGAAGGAAGUCGCAUCCAAAUUGGUGCAAUUUCGAUCCUCUCUUUCAAUGGUUGGAAGUUGUCCUUCCGGGGGAGGAGAAUGAGCGCCUAUCCUCCAACAAACCAGAGUCCAUUAGAGAGGAUGUCGAUCAUUUCCUCCUUGGUGGUUAACUUGAACCAGAAAAAGCUGGACAUCAUAUAUACAAUUUGGACCCCUUGGGAGAGCUUCAAAUAGGGAAGCAUAGAUCGGAGAAGCUCCAAUGGGGAGUCCUCAGAAGGAACUUGCCAUGGAUAUAGAAUCGCCGGUCCUCCCAGGCUGAGGAAACUUUCAAAGGAACAAGUUCCACCAUCAGUUUAGCACUUUCUUGAAUGUGUUGUGGGGUCUAUUCACGUUGACCCUUAGAGCCAUCCCGUGAAUCCUUGAAGAGAUUAGUCUAAGUCGUCAAAAAAGGCAAAACCGACAUAGAAGAGCCUCGAGUGGGCGGAGUCGAGGAACGUGAGUGACCAUGAGAAUAUAGUGAGACUUUGUUCGGGGGCUCAGGUUGAGGGGAAAUCGAGGAACUCUUGGAGGAGGAGGAGGAGGAAGGUGCACGUUGUCACCCAUCCUGCCGCUUCUUGCCUCUUUUGAGGUGGAGUUAAAUGAACCCCAAACCAAGCCUUGAUUCACUGAGCCGGUGUCCACAUUGCUUUGUCCACCAGUGUCACUCUCUCUCUUAGAUAACUCCACUUGGUGGAGUUGACACCCCUAUCAUCCUGCCGCUUCUCGACCAAUCUCUCUCUUUCUCUCUCUCAGAAGAGUCAAAUGAACCAUGAAUCGAUUCACCAAGCCGGUGUCCACAUUGCUCUGUCAACCAAUCUCUCUCUCUCAGAUAACUCCACUUGGUGGAGUUGACUCCCCUAUCAUCCCCAACUCCACAUGCUGACUCUUGCUAGUGCUGACUCCGACGAGGAUACGACAGCGUACGUGGGGAGUUUUAUGUCUUUUAAACUGCAUUCUCUUUCUUCCGAUGAAAAGCAAAAACAAAGGAACAAGCUUGGUCGAUCAAUUUUACACUGACAUGGGACCUCCAAUUAGUGACUCGAAGAUUUCAUUAAAGAGCAUCAUUCUUUGCGGCAGCGUAGAUCAUGGUGAUAUGGAUCAUGAUGUCGAGGAGUCGGAGUUGAUUUGUUGUUCACGGAGAUGAGCCCAACACAGCAAUGACUUGAAAUCGAAGUCGUGUCAUGCUUUUUUUUUUGAAAAACAUAAUAUACAAGAUAAAGUGCAAGUCUGGUAAUUCAGCUUCGAAGUAGAACGACUGAAGGAAAGAAGGAUUUCAAAUCAACCAAAAAAACACUCAGCCUUUUAUAAUAUUGCAGGCGGAAUAAAAUGGAAAAACCAGCCUUAACAGAGAAGAGUUAAAAGUGGUAAAAUCUCUGCCCUCUGUCAGUCGGCGCCUACGCCUCCUCAAUCACGACGGCGUCAUCGUCUCCGGCGGCCGCGCCGGCGCCGACGCCGCCAUCGAAAGCCUGUGGAUUCAUCGGGAAGCACUCCGCCUUGUGCGACAGCUUCCAAUCCAGAGCUUGACAUGCCCUCGAGCAGUAAUUGACUAAGCCGCACACCGAACAACGCCGAAACUCGUGCCUGCGUGUCUCAGGCCGCCCGCAGCCGCGGUGGGAGCAGAGCCUCAGACCCUCCGCCGCCGACCCUGCCCUCGCCUCGAACCAUUCCUUCAGGAACUGGUUGGCUGGAUGCGGCUCCGGCGCCGGCAAAUUCCAACCGUAGUCGCUGAGGAGGGGGCAGCACCCUGGUAGCGUUUCACCCGCCACCGUGACCCCCGCUGCUGUGGGCGGGCGACGCUGCUUCUGCCAUGCAGGCAAGAACGAGAUGGCGGCCGCGAGCUCCCGGGCGUUGGCCUGGACUAAUAAGCGGCGGCCCUCGGAGACGUUCUUACGGACGCCAUAGCCGUCCUGGAGGCAGUGCCCGAGCUCUCGCAGGGCGUCAACGUGGCCGUGAAAAGCCGCACGGGCGCACAGGGCAACGCCAGCCCGGGGAUCCUUGUCAUUCUUCGACCCUCCGCUGCCAUUGAAUUGGAUUACCGCCAACGAGUACAGCGCUGCCGGGUUCGAUCCGAUGGCCGCCCUAGCCAUCAACGACGCGCCGCUCCCUCUUUUCUCCAGAGCGUAAAAUCUUAUCUGAUCCCAUAAAAAAUCAAUUCUUAAGCAAACUCGAAGAUUUCUUCAGUCGAACGAGCAAGCGCACGAGCCCUACCAUUCCCAACAUGUAGCAGGCAUCAAGAUUUCCGCAGUCUACACAACGCUUGAGGUAUCCAUGAGACGAAUCGGACCACGUCUUCGCACUAACAGCGAGGCAUCUGGAGCUGGCCAUAGACAAAACCAGCGGAUGUUGCCCCAGAACAUGAAACCGCUUACACCUGUUGCAGAUACCCGAAAAGAAUAUAUUUUUACUCACAGUACCCAGGAAAGAUCCAAUCUUCAGAGGAUUAAUGCUUAAAACCACAUUAAAAAAACUCUCUAUUUUAUAAAACAGGGCGACAUUAGUGUUCGUACGUCAACAUGGAGCUGAAAAGAUCCGAAGGACUAUCAGCGGAGGAGCUGAGCUUGGAAAGCACGGACACAAUGAUGUCAUCCGGCAGCCUUUUGAAGUAAUCGACCCUCUCCUCCUUUGCCGGCAACUCCGUCGCUGCAACCCGCGGCCGUUUCCGGCAGCACGAUCCGGCUUCUCCUUGCCCCGUCGGUGUUCUCUUCCUCUCCGCCCUCCGAACUCCUCUGUCGCCCAUCUGUGGUUGGGGUCUCAGGCAUUGCGAAGCCAUUGUACGUAUGCGUCGCUGGCUCGGCCGCGCUGCGAUGUUAUUGUGGGGAAGACCAACCCCGAGACGGGAGGGCACCCUGAAGUCUGAAUAGGAGAAAGAAAGGCAAGAAGCUAUUUAUUCGUAAUCAAAAUGCAAAUCUGACGAACACACUCUUGCUAUAUUUUGCCUUUUCCCAUUUAGGUUAACUUUUACACCGAGGCCUACGCUCGGACGCCGCUUAACCCAACGGUUUUCUGUGGACGAUCCAUUUUGGGACUCCCGCAGACUCAACUUGAACGUCCGAAUGCUAUUACCAUGCACGAAAACUAGGUAUUUGGUCACGUGCAAUAUAAUCUACCUAGCGAAACAAAUUACUAUUAGAAUCGACAAUUAGUUUAAGGAAAUAAAGUUGGUGAAUAGGAUCAUACACAACUCGAAUUACAAUUGGAUUCUGGUCUUAAACUCGUUACCAUCUUAGGAUUUUAACUUUCUUAUGAUUAUAUCCAUAUAAUUUAUCACACAUCACUCUCUGUUUAGUACUAGUGAGGGCUAACUUUCAGGAAAUCAUUCUACCCACUAUAUUUAAGAUGUGGUAGUUAGAAUUAUAAGGGUUGGACAAAAAAGUCUGUCAAUUUUGAUUGAGGUCAAUUUUGGGCCCUCAACAUAUUAAUAGACAAACAGACCACUCCGUUCUUGAGUUAGUCUUCUACUUAAUGUUAGUGAUAGCUUAAAAAAGUUCCUCAUAAUUCUAAAUUUGAAACGACAAUUAUAGCGAAAGAAGAUUUAAGACGUUUUAAUGAACUCAAAUGCGAGAUACAUGACCAUACUUUUUACUCUCAGAGAAAAAUUGGUUGGGUUUACUAUAUCUAGGCAGUGUACGAUCCUCCUUUAUCAGUGGUCAAUGCGUAGCACAAGCUUUCCAUUCUUAGUAGGAGGUCGUUGGGUUUCACAUGCUUCUCGUGGAAGGCAUGGGAAUUUGCUGAUUUGUAUUACUAAAAAAAAAAUGAUGCCUCACCUAAAACGCACAAGUUAUUAGGAAAAAUCAUUUUAACAUGUACCUCACAUUUUCAUACUUUUUUAUAAUCCUUACCAUUUUCAAAUAUCGACAAUGAUCUUAUAGCAUUUUUCAAAUAAACUUAUCAUAUUUUAUUUUAUCGAACUCGUUUUGAAUAAUUUUGAAUGAAAAUUAGGAUUAUUUUGAUAUAUUUUAUACUAAAAGAUAAUGUCAUAAUCAUAAAUUUAGGUUAAAUAGCUGAGAAACUUUAUAAUAUUUGUGUUUAUUUAUUAUAAAAAUAAUAGCAAUAAAGGAUAAAAUAUUAUCCAAUUACAUUAUUUUUAAUAUAUAUUUCUGCUACUGUACCAAAACCUCAACCAUGAUAUGUAAUUAGAUAGAGUUUUUGAAACAGUGUAUUACAAACAUUGUACCCACACAUUAAUUAGUUCAAAUCUCCACAAACCUUGAUUAUCAAUCUUAUUAUAAAUUUUGAUAUUUUAUAUAAUGAAUUGUAUGAGUUUAUAGACUCCUCAAAGAUAGUUAUUGUAUUUCAACAACCUUGAUGAUCAUAAGAAAACAUCUAAUUUCCUAUCAAAAAGCCUGAAAGUUAAACGAUAGCAUCCAAGCGAACAAAGAGUACACAAUAUUAGUGAUAAUAACAUGACCAGAGCGCGUUAAAAAACCUGAGCUCUUGGGACAGCAUCGAUGCGAGAUAUGAGGAUCAAUGUACGUAAUCUUUCCUCUAAAUACAAAGAGAUUAUUUCUAUAAUAAUUUAUAUAUUUCUAGUAUAAUUUUUUCAUAUCUCCCUCCAUCUUUGUGACGCAAGCAUUUCAUGUAUGUUGAUUCUUGAUUAUCCACAAUUAAAUCCAGAACUUAAUAAGAUAUAGCCUGCAAUAAAGAGAGAUAGAAGCCAUUAAACAUUCUCCAUGAACCAUUUCAAGGCACGAAAGAGAUGAAGAUUUAACAAGUCUUUGAACCAUUUGAAGACAGUCCACGAACACGUAGUUCCCAAUUGAUGAUUUUUGGUAAUUCAAAAUUUGUGAUCUGUCCAAAAUUCUAAUAAUUUUUCGUUAUGGAAUUUGAACCAAUUGAUCACAAAUAUAACUCAGUACAAAAAAAUAAUUCAGAAGAAAUUGGGGCUGCAGGUCGUUGGUCAUCGAACACCAACCGCCGGUCACCAUCGAUUGCCGAUCAUCCAUGGUGCAGACCUCAUGGUAGUAAGGUAUUGGUCAUGUCAUUAUUCUCACGUCAUAAACUAAAACUCGAGCAACCUAUAAUCAUUCUAUCACUUGGGCUAAAAAAACAUCUUUACUAAUCCAAAUUCCACAUUGUUAUGAUUUCUCCUCUCAAACAUCAUGUACCUCUACGGUAAAAAAAUUAAUAAUUCUGAUAAAUAAUGAUAUUCUUAGCAUGAUGAAUUGUAUUCAACAUAAAAAAAGGUAUAAUCGCUUAGAAAUAAGAUACAGAAAUCAAAGAAAGACUAGUUGAGUAUCUCAUCGUUUGCUUGAGAGGUCAUUUCUAUUAAAAGAGAAUUUAAUUCAUAAUUUAAUAUGACAAUAUAUGGAAUAGUUAAAAUUAAUUAUUUAAUUAAUAAGUUAAAAAUUUUCAUGAUUAGACAUUUAAUUUUAGUGGACAUCAUCCUCAAUCUCCUAUUUAUGGAUUGGCUGAACCCUCUCUAUAUUGUGCCAGGGUGAUCUAUAAGAGAGGUAGUUCCUAAACUUUUUAAUUUUUAUUUAAUAUAAUAAAUUUUAUAAUUAUGGGAUUUAAAAGUUAUAUAAACAUGUUUACAUUAAUUAUGAUUUUUUUGAAUUUUAGACAAGUUAUUUGAUAUUUUUCGAUUUAAAUAUAGGAGAUAAAGUGUUGAUCAAUCAUUACAAAACUAGGAUUGGAUUAAAAUAAUAAUAAAACGUUGUAUUUAUGAUAAUAUAUAUGACGUACAAUUAUUUUAUAAAAUUUUAUUCGAAUUAUUCAUGUUUUAUCAAAAUUUUAAUUCAAAAAUAUGAAUUUAUUAAAAAACUUGAAUUCAUGAAAAAUAGGAGUACAUUUAUGUUUGAUAUUUUUUGGUCAAAUAAUAUCAUGAAAAAUAGGAGUCAGAUUCACCUCAAGUUAGACCUAUUUUGAUGGGAUUAACCAUUGCAGAACGAUCGACCAAGCACAUCCUUUGUGGCCUAGCGAUUGGUGGGUCAACGCACAUGCCAUGCAUGAGAUGACUCAAUAGGUCACCACCUAAAUGUAGAAGCAUAACAAAACGACAAUCGAUUGCUCUAACUUGAUACGACCCAAUUCAGCACAACCCCGUGUAACCCCUUUUCUUAGCACGAGCCAACGAAGCUUACCGCCAAAGGACUAGGCAAGUUUCGUAUCUUAGCACGAGCCGACGAAACUUAUCGCCAAAGGACUAGGCAAGGCUCGUAUCUACUCACAUAUAUGGUCCAAUAUCACAAUCCCCUUUGGCUUAUUCCUUCAUAUUUUCAUUUUUCCUCUCGUAACAAUGAUGGGAGGAUCAAAAUAAGGCCCGAUCUCCUACUCAUGUUGCUUCUCACUUCCUACUCAUGUUGCUCCUCACUUUCCUCCUCCCCUUCCCAUUACCACAAGAACUCCAUUUUCAAGCAUGUUCAAGGAUCAGUGAUUUAAAAAGCACUAGGUACCAAAAGAUACCAAGGUCCAAAAAUACCUUAGGCGCUCGCCCGAGCGAAGCAGGACACUUUGAAACAUAAAAAAUAUAAAAAAUAUAUAAUAUAAAUGAUAAUAUAUAAUUAUAUAAAUAAAAAGAUAAUAUUAAAUUACUAUUACUAGUAGUUAGAGGGGUAAAAGAGGGAGAAAAAGUCACUCACAGUGGAACUUUCAAAUGAUAGUAGUGGCUAUAGAGGAAGUUGCAGACGACAAUAGUGGCAACGAUAAAAGUUGCGGAUAACGACGUCGUGGGUGGAGGAAGCUUCAAAGGUGUCCGUUGAUGGCGGAGGAAGCUACGAUCCUCUCCCUCGAAGGUGGAAGGAGUUGCACACGGAAGUAACAACGAUGGAAGGAAGUAGCGGACGAAGGCUAAGCCAUCCGACCCGUUCGUCAAUGAUAAAGGAAGCCUCGAUCCGCUAUGUUUGCAACGGAGGCAGCUACAUAAAGCAUUGAAGACUAAGGCAAAAGCUACACUAAGGUUGAUGGAUCAGGGUCACAUAGGGGUGCGGGGGUGGCUUUUACGAGUAAGAAAGUGGCUAGUUGGUUCAAUCGAACCAACUAGCCACUAUUGUACUAAACGAGACUUAAAAGUCUAGUUUGGUUGCUUCAUUUGAAUUGCAUACUCGCCCGAGGCAACCAAUGCCGAGGUUCAAGCGAGCUCUUAGGUGACGCCUCAUUGAAGUGCAUCGCCUGGUUUACCCUUGAGGUGCUCGGGUCUGGCCCCCUCUUAACUGAGCACCUAAGUGAGCACCCAGGCACCUAUUUAAACCACUGUGAAGGACUCCCUCAAAUCACCAUUAUUGGACAGGGCUUAUGGUUGAUGGCUUCAUCAUCAUCGUGCUCGAUGUCCUUGAGCUCCACUGUGGAGGAGCCGACGGAGACGUAGAUAUGGGCCACAAUGAACUUUUACAAGGUGAUAGCGAGGGCUGAGGGGGGAAGGGGAAGAUAACAAUCAAUGAGCAGAAGCUCAUCCUUGUGUCUCCAUCGAGAUGUUGGUGGUGCCAUUCAUGGCAGAUAUAAGGAGUUUAAAGAUAAACAAAGGUAUACAACAUAUGGAGUGAGGAAACCCUUUUCUAAAGCCCAAACCUCAUGGGUGCAGUAACUAUAAUCUCGGAGGUAAGAAAGGAGCGACGAAUGACUUCUCAUAAGCUAGCUUUAUGUGUAUAUAUUCAUGGGUGCCUUAAUAGCAACCUUGAAAGCUAGAAAGGCGAGUAUAGUUUCUUUAAAGUUGACAUUUUGUGUAUAUAUUUAUAUCUCAAUAUGAUAUGUUUAUCAGAUCCACUUUUGAAAUUUCUCCCAUGACAAGGUAUGCUAAUUCACCAUAUGCUAUUAGUGCAUCAAUGUGAUGAUGGUUGUCUGAUCCAAUUUUGAAAUUGCUUCCAUGACAUGAUAUAUUAAUACAUCAUAUGUUGCUGGUGUAUCAGUGUGAUGAUGGUUGUAGCUUAAUCGUUGUGAAUUAUACGUGUCUAAGGCAACUUCUGAAGUAAGUAUAAUUAUGACAUGUAUUUGUGAAGGUUAAAGAAUGUCGAAACUUUUACUUUCACCACUUAUCUGCUGCUCCGUAUCAUAAGACGAAUUAGCCUUGAAAAAGAAUGACUAAGUAUUACCAUACUAUUAUUGGCCAUAAGAUCCUUCAUAAUACGAUGGCUGGGAAUCAGUGAUUUAAAAAGACAUUUGGAUGCUCGCUUAAGUGCUCGAGCAAGGCGAGACGAGACUUAAGCGUCUUGUUUAAGGGCCAGGCAUCGGGCACGUGCCCGAUUGAUAUGCGACGACCGAACCAGACUUAAAAAGUCUCGUUCGAACCAACUAACGCACACAGUUAUAUUAGCAUGCGACCCCGACUCCCAACCCUAUGCAAGCUUCUCUCUCCAUUUUCGCCGUCAAAGAUUUCUCCCUUUGCGUUCGCCAUAGACAAUUUGUCCCUUUGCCUCCGCCAUCGAUAGUUUGUCCUACUGCCUUCGAGUCUUCCUCUGUCACCAAUCGAAUCUCCACAGCUUCUGUUGCUAUCCGCUGCCACUACUACUGUCCACUACCUGCUGUUGUUUGUAACACAACUCUACCGCCACUACUACUAUCUGCGACUCUGUAGCUUCGACUGCUAUUUAUUGCCUCCUAUCGUUUGUGACUUAACUUCUUACCACUGACUUCUCACCACAACUUCUCAUUGUUGGUCUCUUCCCUUCCCUACUGCUAUUAAUAGUAAAUAUACCAUUAACAAUAGAUUAUUAAUUACUGUAUACAAUAAUCUUUAUUUAUUAGAUUAAUAAUAUAUUAUUUAGAUUUUAACAUUACUAAUAUUUAUUUAUUUAAAAUUAUUAUUAAGGUUUCAAGACAAAUGACAAGUGUACAAAGCAAUUCAAUAGAUUCUUCAAUGAAUUCAAAAAAGGAUCCUAUACAAAAAUAUAAUUAUCUAAAGGAUCCUAAUAUAGUUACUUGCAUCUUUUGUGAUAAGACUACUAAAGGUGAUUUUUUUGUGGAAUAGCAUCAAGCUUAGCUCCUGUUGUUAUUAAAAAAAAUGAAACAUAUUUUGAUGAAGAAGAAGGACAAGAGGAAGAGAAUGAAUUGUUUAAAAAUGACAAUGAUAUUGAUUAUGAUGUUGAAUGACUUUGAUGUAAAACUUUAUUGUUUUGAAUUUUGAGUAUGACAUUUUUACUAUUAGGAGAUGGGUAAUAUGACUUGGUACUUUAAAUCAUUUUAAUUUAAUAUCAUAUUUAUUAAUUAUAUUAUAUAUUUUUUAUAUUUUCGUAUUUUAGAGUACCUCGCUUCGCUCGAGUGAGCACCUAGCGCCUUGAGACCUUAGCACCUUUUGGCGCCUAGUACUUUUUAAAUCACUACUAGGAAUACAAUAAGCUCCGCUCUAUGUCUACAUUACAUAGACUCUAGCACAUCUAUUCGAAAUCAUCGACUGGCUUCCCCUUACCCUUCCCUUCCAUGUAUAAACCUAACUAAUACCUCCCCAAGCUCUGAGGGUAAUAUGUGUAAAAUACUACUUUGUCCAUGCACCACCUUAAAACUAAGUAGACGAAACAAUCGACUCCUCGACAUUACAAACAUUAUUGGUAGAGGCAUUACUGUCCAUGUCACUACUGUCUAUGGACCGAAUGGAUGACUAUAAUGGUUGGAUGUCACAACCUCAAUAAAAUUUAUAUACAACCAUCAUAGGGUCCACUUGAUGCAAAAGUUAUAAAUAAUGAGAUUCCUCAACUGACAUCACUCGACCUGCUAUAAAUUUGAUCGUCUUAAAAUCAAUUGAACAAAAGAGACACAGUCUCAAAGCAAUAGUCACAUCACAGGAAUGGUUAGUUUCAAGGUAUUCAAAAUCGAGUAAUGAAAAAAAGGUGAAAAAGAUAAUUCUUUCUUCUGAAUUUUGGGAGGCCAUGAAUGAAAUUAUAAAAGGAGUCGAACCGCUUUACAUGGUCCUCCAUGAGGUUAAUAUAGAGAAGCAUUCGUAGAUGGUCAGUUUUUCUAUAUAUUUAUAUUGAUAUUUUCCUAUAAUAAAUUAAACCAAAAGAGAAGGAUCUUAUCUCUAUUUUUUUGGUUACACCAGUUAAUUCAAUCCAUAUUUCAUAACUAUAAAACUUGGUUAGUUUGCCAACAAAAGAUCAACCAUAUUUCCAACUUAUAUGACUAAACUUUUAGGUGACAUGACUUAUACAUCAUAAUUAUUCUAAGUUUGAACAAACCAUGAACGAACAACUACCUAAUGUCAACUUGAUCUAUAUUUUUAGGGGAUUUUUAGGUCAUUUGCAAUAGCCUUAGAGCUAGUUAAACUGAUCUAAACUUUGAUUUGAUUAUAUAUUUUAAUCAAAAAAUUCAUUAGAAUGUCAUAGAUAAAAUAAUUAGUGUUGGAUCAAUUUAUUGUUAUCCCAAUCUUAAAUGUAAAUUGUGCCACAGCGAAAAGCCAAGAUUCCUAGUAAUCUUGUCCAUAUAAGAAAGUCCAUCUUGUGUAAACUACAUAUAUUAGGUGACCAAAAACAUUAUAAACCUAAAAGGAUAGGUAUAGCUCAAAAGAUAAUCAAGAAAUCAUGAAAAAAAAAACUAUAGUCAUCAUGUAAACAAUAAUAGAGAAAUGAUGAAUGCUUAGUGCUUACAUAAAGCAUAUAUCAGAAAUCACUGAUAUGUUACAUUAGCAUGGUAUUGAACCUACUGAUUUUGUGAAGAUAUGACCAUCCAUAAACGACUUUAAAAACAACUGAGACAUAUUCUGUAAGAUACCAAGAAUAUGACAAAAACUCAAACAAAAGAGAAAGAAACUAUACAAUAUUCUAAAAGAGGAGAUUAUCUACUAGCCCUACUAAAGGAAUAAAACUUUCCUUUCAGCUAGAACACGGGUGAAAGAGAAACAACCAAUCAAGCAAAUAAUUCAUAACAAAAUGCAAGUAUGUGAGAAAUUAAAAAUCAAGGGUGUCAAGAAGAUGAUUGGCAUACCCAAUAACUACUAUUCCACCUGGAAUCAGAGGAUAUAAGAAAUAAACCACUCUAUCAACAUUUUUACAUCAAUUUCAAAGAUCACAUACAACAAAACAAUCAGCAAAAUCAAACAAGAUCAAGCGAUAGGGUUCUAGGAAACUCCUAAAGGUAUCAAUGAACAUGAACUUUAGAUGGUGCAUUAAAUAGAGAAUGUCCAUAGUUUCACAUAUUGGCAAUGUCAAAAACGAUGACAUAGAAAGAAGGUACAUCCUUCAAGAUCUAGGGUUAGAGUGCCACUUGAAGAAACCUUAAUGGACUGUAUAGAUUGAGAGGAAAAAAGGAAGGGAAAAUACUAUAUCCUUCCUUGUUCAAGAGAGUGAAGCCUUCGUUAGCUUAUCCAUCAACUUCUCUGCUGUGAAUUCCCCAAGAUACAAAGGUUAUGUCAAACAUCCUUAUCCUUCAAUUACUAUCUUCAUGUCAAUUUCAUCUUUUUUCCUCUCCCCCUUUUGGACCCGAUGGAUCUCUUUAUGGGUAUUUAAAGUUUCAAUGCCCUGUUAUCAUGGGUAUACAAAGGGCACCAACCCCAAACAAUUAUGAUUUGACAGUACAAUCAUGACUUGCCGACCCAAAAUAAUGAUCAUGUUGGCUGAGGUGCCAUGCACAUCAAUAAAUGAAAAAUAUUAAUGAACAAAAAACUUAGUAACUUAUUUAAAGGUAACUAUUUAAGAAACAUAAAAGUUAUAAAAUUUGGACUCAUUGAUGCUCUUUACAUGUCAUCCUCAUAUAUAAUUUGAAUCAUUUAAGGUUUAGGAUUUAACAAAAAAAAUAAAAUUUAAUCAUAAGAUAAAUAAAGUGAAGCUACUCUUGCCCAAAUAGAACCCAAAAGAUGUUACCUCGCCACUAGAUGCUAGAAAUGCCAUCGGGCAAGUGACUAAUCCAUAAAUAUAGUUCAACUAAGUAAGAACAAUGCUUUUAUUAUUGUUCAUUUAAUAAAAGCCAAAGGAAAAUAGAAGAUAUAACUAAUGAAACAAAUGCUUCACACAUAUCAAUCUUAUUAUUACCACCUCCAGCAAAGAACCAGUUUUCCAUCAGUGAUACACCUGCAUAGCUGAAGCGUUGGUUUGGAGGCACAUCCUGCCAUUUUGGUUUUGACCAUUCCAUCUGCAAUUGUUAAAUUAAAAAAGUAGAUUAUAACACAGAAUUUUAAUUCAUCGUUUUUUUUUGUCAUAGCACAUAGAUAGAAGAGUAGCUCCUUCACUGUCAAAUAUUUUAAAUAAUACCCAUGUAUAUAACAUCAGAAGCUAGUAAAAUGACAAUAAAAAUUAUAUAACAGACCCAUUAAGUCAGUUGAUCGAUUAAAAUGAUUGAUUAACAGAUACAAAUUUAACUUAUCCAAAAAUUACCCAUAUCAAUUGCUAUUGGAUACUUUGAAAAAAGGAAAAGGAAAGAAGACAAAGCAUAACAUCACAUAGUUGAUCCUUCAAAGGAAAAAAAGAAAAAGAGAAACCACUUGGGUCUAUUAAGAUGCAAGCCAACAGUAAUCAUCAACUAGAAUAAGGACCAAUAUAAUUCACUGAAAGCAGAAUUUUAAAUUAGAAACAGGAAAAUUCAAAUGUUUAUUAAAAAAAAUUAAGAUCGCAGGGGCUUAAAAUGUUGAAAAAUAAAUCACCCUAAAUUUAAUAGAAAUUUUCAUCAUAUUGAAGAGAGAAACACUAAAGUAGUGAUUCAACUGCAAAAGAAACUACAUCUAACUGCUUCUGCAUAAACCGAAUUAGCCAAAACUAAGAAUCUUGAACACCAGUGCUUUUUAAUGCUCUCUGCACCAAUUUCUACUAAAAACAUUUCAUGAUAAACAAAGAAAAAAUACAAGAUUUUUUUCACGAAAAACAUCACCAAUGAGUUCUGGUGUCAAGAAUUCAGAGAGGAUCCAAGGAAAAAUAAUCACAAAUCCUAAUAGAUUAUACAUAAAAGGAUAAAUUACCAUCAUCACAAACUUGUAUACAAGAAAGACAAGAUCACAAGCACAAUAGAAUAAAAUAUAAAGCAUGAAGAACUCAGAGAGCAAUCCCAAGAAAGACACAAAACCACAAACCCCAAUCAAAGAAAUCCAAAGGUUUGGAGAGAUCAAUGUAUAAAUACAACACAACACAUGUCAAAACAGCUCCAAUAUCUCCUCCAAGCAGUACACAAUUAAAAGAGAAAUAUAUAAUAACUACAAAUAUAUGAUCUAAACAUCAAGGCAAAUUCCUAGUUUUAAGAAUUCAGAAAGCACCCUCGAGAAGACCCAAAAAAUCUGGGAUGAACAAGACAGCAAUGAAGGGAUCGGUGGCUGGUGGUUGGAGAAGGGAAGGCCCAGUAAGAUAGCAAUGGGUCAGGCAAAAAUAAAACAUCAAAAAAUAUACGAUCUCUCGAUUGCAGGGAGCAAUCUCAAGAAGAACAAAAAUGAUCAUGGAUUCCAAUGCAAUAAACCACAAAAGCAUGAUGGAAAUCAAAUAUUUGCCCCUUGACGAAGAAAAGAAGAACAGACAACUUGGCGAGGACCAGAUUGAGGAGUGGAGGUGGGGGAGGAGGACAAUGGGGUGAGAAAAGAGAAGAAAACUCCAAUUAAACCAUCAGUGCAAGCGUCCAAUAUCAAGAAUCCAAAGAGCCAUUUCAAGAAAGACACGAAAGAUCACAAAGAAUAAUGUAGUAAACCCUAAACCAGGGAUAGAUCCACUUCACUGUCCAUUUUUAUAAUUGUCAAAUUGACAUAUAUAUUAGCUUUCAUUUAUUCCAUGACAAUUAAAAACUGUCUACAAUACAGCCAGAAAAAGAUUCACUGGCCAGGAAGGGUUUCAAAAUACAUAGUUACUGAUUUAAAAGAGAACAAGAGAGUAUGCUUAUAUCCGCUAAAUGUCCAAGAUCUGCGGCAUGAGAUCCCGAUAUAUAAAUAAUCUAAAACCCAGAAAAUGAAACAUUCUAUGUUGCAACCCUGUGAGAUAUUUUUCAUAACUCUGACCAGAGAAUAAUUUACUCAUUGCCGCCGUUUCUUUUCUCUGCAGCAUAACAUUCAAAAUAACCUCAAAAUACAACAAUACCAAUCAUAAGUGAAGCCAAAAAAGACAUACUGCUAUCCGCUCCUUAGCCUCUGCAAGCAUUAUUAGGUCUCUUAUGCUAAUCUGUCUUAGGUCAAUCUCAUCUUCAGGUGUUUGCAGUAAAACUUUGUUCACUAAACAUUUAAAAGAUAAUGAAUUAUCAACUGAAGUUCAUUCAGUUUCUUCCAACAGGUGCAGCAUGAGUUUAUGAUAACAUUAGGUAUCACUGGAAGCUCAUUUACCUUGCAACAAACCUCCAGGUCUUUGGAGUUCUGCUUUGAUUUGCUGACAAGACAAACACUUUGAAACAUACAUUGUAAUCUCCAUCAUGACUUCUCAUAAAUAAAGACUAUGGAGAUCUCUUCUCCUUCGCCUUGUGGCAUGAGGAAACUUCUUUUUAGGUGAAUUCUCUACAACAGAAUCAGGUUUUACAAAGGCUUUCUUAUGCUUCCGAGUGGGUUUUUCAAUGUCAUUUGUCUGCCUCUUUGACUUUCUCUUGGUCCUCUUUGGCUUAGGCAUAUCUUCAUCACUUCGGUUGCCAUCCAUCUGAGAGACAUUAAAGUUGUCAAUACCACGUUCAUCAUUGCUUCCAACUUCAAUUUGGUCAGUACCGCACUUGGCUAUCCUCUUUCUCAGUUCCCUACAUGGUUUAUGAGCAUCAUCAUCUUUAUCAUUUUCUGAAGGUUAGAAGUCUCAGUAAAAUCUGUUUGCAUUAAGGCCAAGUCAUCAGGGAACAAAUGAGUCAAUAUCAGUGUCCACUGAUUUAACAGAAGCAUGAUCCUCUAAGAAGUCCUGUCUUUGCAGUUGAAGGAUGCUUAUCAAAAGAGAGAGUGUCAAUGGCACUAUUACAAACAGCAGAACCAGUGCUUGUGAUGUCUCCUAAUCAAAGUCUGGGCAUCAGAUGAAAUUAACCAGCAGAUUGAACUCUCUGAUUCAACAGAAAUGUAGAGAAAAAAAGAGAAAAUUCAAUAUGGACCAGAAUGCAAAGGUUAUGAUUGAUGAAUGCAAAGGAUUGUCCACAUGUAUAUCGAUCUUCGCUUGUACAGAAGAAGGGUUCGUUAUCUCAGAAAAGGAUCCCAUGGGAGGAGGACCAGUAACGGAAGCAUCAGGAAGCAUAAAAGAAACAGAUUUAGCAGCUCCCUUUUUUGGUUGUGACUUGUUUCUAGGUUGGAACUUGCCUACUUGUCUGACAUCUAGAAAGAAAAAUAAGUUCAUAAAAAUUCAUCGCAAAGCAUUCGUUAAAAGACAAAAGAGAAAAUAAUAGAACAUGUUGGUAAAAAAGAGACUACAAUUGUAUGGAAAAUAGGACUAUGUCCAAGAAAAAAUAUGAAAUUAUCCAACAUGCAUGGGUUGGAUUUAUAUCUAAUUCUCAUAAACAUUGAAUAUGUUGAAAAACUAUCAAUUGCAUCUCUACUUACCAGUGGUGCUAUUGUGCUGAAAAGAAAAUUCAUCAAGUGAUUCAAGGCCAUAAUGCAUUGCCAUCUCCUAAAAUGAAUCCGGUCACACAAAAGAUAAGCUACAAUGUAAACCUGAAACUAUGAAUUGCACUUCAAGGAAAAUAAUUGUACAAUACCACUUCUCGUUGAUUAUCUGGAAAAGCUUGCAAAUCACCAUCCGAUAAUGAGACUUGAAGUCCAUCAUCAGUGGAUUUUAAGGCUGCGAAUUUUUUUGCUAUAAGAAAAGGUUGUUGGGUAGCAUUCAAUUCGGAUGACAAAAUAUAUGAUCCAGAGCUAGGAGUUGCAAGAUUUGUAUCCUCAACAAUUGCCUCCAUACCUAGAGUAGUAGUAUAUGGUAAUAACAUGACAUGUUUAUGGUACAUUGUGUCAAAACCUUCUGUUUACAGCCACCACUCUAAUGAAAAUGUAGUCAAUGGAAAGAGUACAUGAAAAGGAUUCAGGAAAUUAGCAAUGUGUAGAUUGUAGAGAUAGCACACCAAAAUUAUCAUAAUGGAGUUCAUACUGAGGAACAUAAAUGCAACCUGAACAUACGCUAACUUAAUAAUGGGAACUCAACUUCAACAGAAUAGAAAACAUACCUAGUUAAGUUUUUUCUUGAUCGAACAUUAGAACCACCUCGUUUCAGCAUUAUAGAAUUGAUCUUCAGAACUGAUCUUCAUGACAUGAACCUCCCAAGUGAUCAAACAAUUCAUGAACAACUCAGUGUUUUAAUGUAUAGGUUCUAGAUGUUGAGGAAUGCAUUUCAAUAGAAACAGAAAUACCUGUUUCUUCUUCUAUGACAAUCAUGCAAGUAGCAUGAGGCCCAUUCUCCAAUGACAAACACAAGGUUUAACUACAGUUUUACGACCAUAAUCUAGACCUAGCACACAAUAAAUCUCUAACAUAAAUAACAACUAGAGUUUGCAGAUCAAAUGUAUUGGAUAUCCUUCCUGAUUUGGACACCAUGUAACACCGAAGGUUCUAGUUAAGUUGGAUAUCGGUAUGCUUGUAAUAGUGUUCUCAGUUUACCCCGUGGUUAUCUGCAAGUUCUGUCCUAUUAAUCUAAUUAUACACGCUAAAUGUGAACUUAGAUAUAUAACCUUGAUGUUGCUCUUGAAUCUUCAUGUUGUACUCAAUUACAAGAACAAUAAGAGGCUUAAUGAAGAAAUUUUUAGGAGAAACUAAAAAGUAUACAUUAUAAUGGCAUCAGUCAUUAUUAUCCAUCACAAUUUAUAUACGAGAGCUAAAUGAUUCAACAGCACAUCAUACUCGAUGCAAAUAUCUACUCUGGAAAAGUAAGAUAAUUAUAGUUUAAAAUCAUGAUCCAACUCAUAUCCUCUUAAAGAAAAAAAAAAGUGGAUAGAAAGUCUAUGCUAGAAAGUCUACUCUGAAANNNNNNNNNNNNNNNNNNNNNNNNNNNNNNNNNNNNNNNNNNNNNNNNNNNNNNNNNNNNNNNNNNNNNNNNNNNNNNNNNNNNNNNNNNNNNNNNNNNNAUGAAAAUCAUAAGUCAAAUGAUAUGGGACGAUUUUUACUACGACAGGAGAUAAAGAUUUUCAACAUGAAUUUCAUGAUAUAGAUGUAAGGCAUGCUUUCAAUAUGAUCAAUCAAUCUUGUAAUAUUCUCAAGGAUUUUGCAAGGCAUUUUGCAAGGCAUAUAAGACAUUCAUACAAGCUUUCGCAAUUCAUAUAAGUCAUGCUUUCGCAAUUUCAUGAUAUAGAUGUAAGGCAUGCUUUCAAUAUGAUCAAUCAAUCUUGUAAUAUUGUUAAGGAUUUUGCAAGGCAUAUAAGACAUUCAUACAAGCUUUCGCAAUUCAUAUAAGUCAUGCUAUCAAAAUGGUACAAGUCAUCACUUUUCUCCCCCUUUGUCAUCAACAAAAACCCCUUUGUCAUCAACAAAAAAGGGAAUGAGACUUGAAGCACAUAAUUUGUAAUUAUAACAUUGAUCAUACAAAAAUUUUAUCAUCCAAAAGUAUGCUAAAAUAUUUACGCAGAGUUCAUCAUAAAGGAAAAUUCAACAUUCAUUCAUUGUAUCAAAUCUCUUCUUUCUAUAAAUAACAAAAAUUGUAGGUGUACAAGGAAGAGAUUAUGAGUAAACAAAAAUUCAAGUAGUAAGAUCAUAAUUCGAAUACAAACUCAUUCAAAUUCAAAUUGUCAACUUGAAACUCAUAAUUAAGCCAUCAAAAUCAAUUUUGAGAUUCACAAAAUAUCAUAAAAUCAUUAAUCUUAAUCAAAUGGGAGCGGUGUAUGACUCAAGAUAGGAUAAGAUAAUUUAACAUGCCAUUUAGAAUCAAAAGAGAAGGAUUGGAUUCACCGAGGAACGGAGAGAGGAUGAAAAACUUUACGGAAAAUCCAUUCAAACAAGUUUAUUCUUAGGGAUAAUUUAACAUACCUAAUUCCCUUCUAAUGAAUUCAAAUUGGUCUUCAUUCAAAGCUUUUGUAAAUAUAUAUGCUAAUUGAUGCUUUGUGUCAAUGAAUUCUAGAACAACAUCAUUGUUAAGGACAUGAUCGCGUAUGAAAUGAUGCCUAACAUCGAUGUGCUUAGUUCUAGAGUGCUGAAUUGGAUUUUUAGUAAGACAUAUGACACUAGUAUUAUCACAUUUUAUGGGAAUAUUUUUAAAGUGAAUUUCAUAGUCUUCUAAUGUAUUUUUCAUCCAAACAACUUGUGCAUAGCAUGCACUUGCAGCAAUGUACUCGGCUUCCGCCGUAGAUAGUGCAACAGAAUUUUAUUUUUUGGAAGUCUAAGAAACAAGUGCAUGUCCUAAAAAUUGGCAUGUUCUGGAUGUACUUUUUCUAUCUAUCCUGCAUCCGCCAAAAUCGACAUCUGCAUAAGUUAUUAAAUCGAAUUUUUCAGAUUUUGGAUACCACAGUCCUAGAUUUGAAGUUCCAUUAAGAUACCUAAAUAUUCUUUUAAGCAAUUAUAGUAAUUAAAACAGAGGAAAUAAAACAUCACGAGCAAAUUCGCGACUUUCAAAUGAGGAAUAUCUACCACCAACCUCGAAGUGUCGAUCUACCGCCAAGUCGUCGUCCCUGUCAUAUGCCAUCAAGCAAGAGAUCGCUCCGAACACUGCCCCCUCGUAGGGAGUAGCAUUAUCCUAAAACAACAGAAGGUAAACAACGUCGAGAGGAACAAAGGAAACAAAAGUGUUCGGCAAAGACUCAAGCGGACUAGGGAGUCGGAGGCGGCACCGAGGAGACGGGAGGAUUCGGCGGGGUCCUUGCCAGCGAGAAAGUGGGCUGAAAGGGCGUUGGCGAGGACGCAGGAGGGGUCGUGGCGGGCGGCACGGAGGAUGACCGCUCGGUCGCGACCGUAGGCGAGCACUUGGUCGUAGUAGGCAUCGAUGGCGGCGAUGCAGGCGUCGGAGGCUGUCCGUACUGGGUAUCCCCACCGGUCGCUUCGAGUCGUCGCAUCAAUUCCUCCGUCCAUGUCUCUCUCUCUCUCUCUCUCUCCCCCGAG
RNAcentral lists this long non-coding RNA (47587 nucleotides) under Musa acuminata (dwarf banana). RNAcentral describes it as "long non-coding RNA (MACU_LNC006850)". Lineage: Eukaryota; Viridiplantae; Streptophyta; Magnoliopsida; Zingiberales; Musaceae. The record is from RNAcentral.